Molecule: long non-coding RNA, 58156 nt
Filed under: Hordeum vulgare
Lineage: Eukaryota; Viridiplantae; Streptophyta; Magnoliopsida; Poales; Poaceae
Description: long non-coding RNA (HVUL_LNC021621)
Source: RNAcentral
UGCUCCCGCCGCGUCCGCCACCUGGGCGUCCUCUCCGCCUCCGCCUCCGCCUCCGUCCCCUCCUCGCCGCCGGGUCCGCGCUUGCGCUUGCGGUCCCUCUCGUCCGCCGCCGCGGCGGCCGUAGUGGAGGUGGAGGGCGCCAUCGCGGCCGGCCGGAAGCGGGGAGCGCGAGCUGGCUCUGCUGCUGGUGCGCGCGCGCGCUCUGUGCGCUAGCGGAUGGACGACGGCUGGCCUUGCGAGUCAGAUUGCAGGGGCUGGGUGGGAGGGAGCUGCGCUGCCGGGAUAUAUAUAUAAAGCGAGGGGAGCGGACGGGGUUAUAACUCGCGGGCAAGAUUCCGGUGUUUUUUAUCACCGGAUGGAUGGAUGGAUGGGUGUACUCUUACUCUGCUUCCAUUUGUUUUGUUGUUUUCUUGUCUUUGCUUUGCAUGGGUGAAACCAGAGCCUUUGACGCAGGCGACGUGUACACCUUCAUUUCAUUUCAUUUUAACUGUUCUUGUCAUGGUCAUGCCGAGGACAAGUGCUGGUAGGCGUACGUUGACGGGGGCUUGCCGUGGUGUUCCUCGCCGGUGGGGUGGGGUGGUGACGGCAGAGGGCCGUACGUGAGCGAGCGAGGGAUAGAGUCCAGCGCGGCGGUGGACAUGAUUAGGCAUAGGCAUAGCUUUCCUGCAUGCCAUGUUCGGUUGCCUCGUGGGCGCUGCUUAACAUGGUGCCAGGGGUGCUCACAUGCGCAUGCGCCACCUCCUCCCUCGUGUAGGCACGCACGCACGCCCACGCACAUUCUGCUCCGCCACCUACCUCCGCAUACGAAUCGUCCCAUCAUACGGUGCAGCACCUACGCUUAUACGGUGGUAGUAGUCCUGUGGUACGUAGUACACCGGUGAAAGCUGCACCGCAAAAACAAAAGCGGAUGCUUUCCGCCAAAAAGUAGCAACGCACUACUACUCCCUUCGUCCCAAAUUAUUUAUCUUAUAAAUAAAUAAAAAUAAAUAUAUUUAAAAUUAAAAUACAUUUAUAUACAUUUAUUCUAAUUAUAAAUAUUAUCCAAGGGAGGAGUAAUUUUUUGAGGAAAAGCUCGUGCCUUCCGAAAGAAAAUAAGCCGCCAUGCUUAUCAAUGAUGUAGUAAAACAUAGAGCUUUCUUACGGUACCUUAUGCUGUUAUUGAAGAGGAGCAGUAUAAGCCUCAUCUAACCGUUGAUUUUUAAAGUAUUAUGGACUUGUUCAAAGGACAAUUAGGUCAAUGGUUCUAACUUCUCUCGUAACCAUAAAGGAAGAUUGAUUCUCCGCCUCUGCACCGCUCAGCGACGUGAGAUGAUUGGCGCAGCCGUCCGUCGCCACUGCGUUCGUCGGGACUAUGACGCCCUCCGUAGCUUGACGUGAAACAUCUAUUACACUGGAUGUUCGAGCGCUCGCAUGCGACGCCAUCUAAAUGGAGGAAAUUACGUCCCCUGUCCAAUUAGGGUCUAGGGAUCUUAGUGUAGAAUUCAAAGCAAGGUCUCGUUCUUCUGAUGAAAAAUGAAAUUGCGGACCAAACUAAGUAAAUUAAAUGUUAAUUUGGUCCAGCAUGGACCAGUCUUAUCUGACAAUUUUGCCCUUGCGGAUCGGUAUACUUCUCACGAUUUUGACCCCUCUUAUUUGUGCACUGCUCGUUAAUCUAAGCAGUAUAAGUGGAUCUACACCACUUGAUUAAGGAGAAUGGACGGCUCUGGUUCAUUAGAGGGUGGCGUAAAAGAGCUCAAAACAUAACUCAGCGAUAGUUAAUAUGGAUCCCCUAAAUCAAAUGACGGUUCAGUCAGUUUGCAAAACUAAAAUGAUAGUGGUUCAGUCACCGUGCAACAAUGAAUGCACUUUCCUUGCACAAUAUUUUGUUGUUGUAAACUUUACAAAUUCAACGUUAGAUUUUUAGCAUUUGCCAGCGAACAUCCAGAUUUGUCAUGCAAAGACAAAUGAAUCUGGCAUGCUGGUGUUAAAUUUUAAAGUGAAAAUUGCCAUGGGCUGCAAAAAAUUAUCAAAAAAAUUGUCAUGUUACAACAAAUAAUUAUUCAAACGGGAUCUAACUUAGCUCAGGUAGUCACAUUUCUAGAGCUAAAAUCUGAUCUCACAUGUAUAUUGGGGUUCAAAAAAAGUUAGUGAUUUUUUCUUUGAGCCCUUCACCUUCCGGGGAUUAUGGGGUUGGCAAGUACCGACCGGCGGAACCAUAGAAGAUGAAGGAGAGUGCCAACAAGAUUCCACUUAUUCUAGAUUUAAAGCAGUUUGGAACGAGAUGCGCCGACCAUGAUAUUUGGAGUUCCGAGUAGGUGAUCACGCUUGACUUCGGCUUGAACCUACAAAGGAUGUGAUGCGUUGUUGAGUGAAGGAUUAGGUAUAGCUGACCGAUACAUUGGACCUUUCUUGGCCCAUAUCCCCCUCGCCCUUAAUCUCUUGUUUUGGUGGUUGGUCUCUACCUUUUUUCGUUUCUUGGCUAGUUUGUCUUCCUCUUCUAUUUGAGGGUAACGUACUAAAAGUCCUUUAUUUCACGGGAUUUUCUUUUUCUUUUCAAAUGAAUUUAUGCUUAAUCUAAAUUUAGUAAAUACCAAAUAAGUAAUAAUAAUAAUUAUUAUUGUUAUUAUUAAAAAUAUGUAUCAGUUUCCUGAAACUAACAAGUAGAGUUAUAGCUUUUAUUGACUUACUAGCUUACGGGAACGCCUUAAAUCUCAACUUACUUUGAACGACUGCUUCCCACAUGCAUUGCUGGAAAGAAGAGUGAGCCGGGGCAGAACUUGAAGCACGGGAGAAGGAAAAAAAGAAGUACACAAGGGGUUUGUAGUUGGUAUAUGUACGGUAUAGACCUUUCUUUGUGAAUAGCUAGCUCACUUGCAAGGGUGUAUACAAAGGUCUGCUUAUAUGUUCAAAAAGCCUGUAUAGAUAGCCUAGAUAGCCAAGAAGAUAUACGUAUUUCAUAGAGAUAGCGAAUAAAGUUUUUGUUAAUUUCAAAUAGGCCAUUGAAUGCAACGGCUAAUAAAGAAGACGAAAGUGCCAGAGCUAAGAGCUAAUAUAUUCUCAGUCUAAGCAUGGAUAAAGGAAUGAUAAGAAGACAAAAUCUUUCUUGGGGAUUCCGGUAUUCUAUGACUCUUUUCCAGACUAAUUCACAAUUUUUUUGCUUUGACAAUUCAAAAGUUUGUGAAGGUUUUUUACCAAGAAAUUUAUUCAUCUUUUUCUUAAAGCGAUGGACUGCUAAUGUCUCAUAAGGUCCUCCAAGAGUUUUUUUACAACUGGUUGAACUAUUUCGAUAGAUCCUUUCAUUUCAUCAAGUCGCACAAAAUAGCGGGCUAACGAAUGGGGCCGGGUUUUGGGGACAUGGUUCUAGGUGCACAGCCUAAAGCAUUUUAAUAUUCCAUAUACUGUAAGAAAUCAAACAAUUCAACUUUUUGUGUGGCGAACAUGAGUGUUCUACUCGGAUGCGAAGUUUGGCGAAGAAAUGGCUUCCGUGUUCUUCUGAUAUUUUCGUGAUAUCAAAAAACUUGAUUUGUAACUUUAAUGUAGAACCAUUUUUUUUCACAAAGAAGGCUACAUAAGUCGUUUCUUCUCGAAAUUUUAGACACGAUUUUUGCAGCAUAACCUGUUCGUUACAGAUAUAUUUCAGAAUUGUUAGACCUUUUUGUUAUUUUUAAAAUAUUUUUCAAUGUGGAUACGCCAAGACCCAGGUUCCUUAUUAUUGCUAGCAAAUCCCCUUCCUUUUGCCAUUGGACGUCUUCAUGAGAUUUUCCCUGCUUUCAUCUGUUUUCUUUGAGAGAAAGUUACUGCUUUCUGCCCAAAAAAAGUAAUAGUAAUGCACUUGUAAUAAUAAGGAUAAGGCCCUUAAACAAGAACAAGGUUUUUCUUUUAGAGAGAAAACAAGAACAAGGUUGAGGUCAAAAGGAGAGUAGAGGAGAGCUCCUGUUUGGCGACAGUGUGGAGUAGGUGAACCAGAUCAUGGUUCACCCGCAGCUACCAAUUCUGAAACGAUUCUUCUUCUACUACUGAUUUCGACACGUUGUAGUUGGGUGGAGAUAAACAUGAUUAAUAGUAUAAUUAACCCAAGUGCCGGACGGUUGCUUGCUUGGACUGGCUUACCAUUUGACGCAGUACCUAACCUGAGGGAUAGAAAAGUUAAGCGCUGCAUCAGUGCCGACGCACGCGGCGGCGGCAGGAGCAUCACGUUCCAUGUCGCGUGGCCUGCCCAGUGCUCACGCACGAGCGCGAGCGCGAGCACGAGCACGAGCACGAGCAGUCUCGCUGGCUGCAUAUGGCCACAUGCACAUGCACAUGCAGGCUCUCCGCUGGAAAUUACAGCGAGUUCAGAGACGUUCACGGGCCAUGAACAUGAAGCAUGCUGGCGAUUUCUGCCACGUAAAGAUGCAUGUGGGCGCUGGGAUUUGUGAAUCGGCAAUGGCAGCCGAGGAAUGUAAACGCGCGCAUGCAUGCAUGCAGGCCGGGAGCACGGGCCAAAUCCGGACAGUGGAACUAACUGUAUGCAUGUCAUGGCGAUGCCUCACUCUGCUAGCCUGCUUUGGCCGCUGCAGGGUUCCCAGGCCGCUCAGAAUGUGGCAGCCUGAGCCCUGAAUCAGUGCGUGCGCGCGUGCAUGCAUGCUCUCGUGUGCCCUGCGAGAUGCCACGCCAGGACGUGAAUGCAUCAAUCCUGUGUGCAUCGUACGGGCAUUUGCUAUGCCAGUACGCCUCAGAGUGCUCUCUGCCAAACCUCCAGGCUCACUUCUGAGCUCUGACGGACGGCUUAAAUUGGAGGAGAAUCUAGCCUGCCGCCACCUCCCAGAAAUCGCCGUUAUCUUAUCCAUCGAUCUUUUCCCCUUUUACAUACGCGUCCGUCCCCGGCCAGUGAUAAUCGAUCGUCUCCACGACGCCUGGCCCCGGGCCAUGCGGACGCACAGCAGGCCCGGCGAGCGUGCGCCGACCAAUCCUUGGCUAACGGUUUCGCUGUGCGGGAUCGGCCUCCGGCUCCGGCGCCGGCGCCGUCUGCUGCCGGUGGUGGUGGAGCCUGGCAUCCUGUGGCAUGCGCGGUGGCCUAUGAUGGAUGCUCCGGCGCGUGGGCGGCCACGGGCGGAAAGCCUGGAAUGCUGGGCAUUUUUCUACUACUACCACGGAUCAGGAGGCCGGUCUGCUCGGGCACAUGGCCGGCCGCCCCGAUUCAGCACGAGCACAUGAAAUGAAUCCUCCUGUUCUCAGCCGCGUCACGGUCGACUCCAUAGUGCCACGACGGGCUUGCCUUUCCCCGUCGACCAUGGCCGCCGAAUCGAAGGUGCAGACUGUUGCUAGAUGUUGGGGCUUGUAUAAUAAAGCAACAGGAUGCGGGAGCACAAGGUCUGCAUCCGCGUAAUGUGUGAUGAGGGCGAGCACAUGCCAGGCGAGCCGAGCUGAGCGAUUAAUCUAUCUUGGUUCGGUCGCUCCAGAUUGGAUCCUCGGUGCAGGCAUGUGCGAGGCAAUCACAUUUUCCGAACUGGGCUCCUCCCCUUUCCAUUACGUUCAUAACGAAAAUACAAUGUUUUUCCAACCAGAAACAUAUUGAAGGGAAAGGAAAGAAGCGGGCUCGUGACAAUACCAGGAAACCCGUCAUCUAUGCCUGUCAUCAUCAGGCAUGUGCGAGGCAAUCACAUGGGCCGAUAAUGGUAGUGUUUUUUUUUUUCCUUUGGUUAUAAGCUGGGCGUGACAUUUGGCGGCGCAAAAGUCAAGAGCAGAGCAGAUAGGAGCGCGUCGUUGGUUGGUGCGUACACAUGCAGGCCACUACACUGCAUCUGCAAUGCUGCCGGGAUUAUACUACUAACAACUGAAACAAUCAGGCAGGCAGUCAUGGAGCCGGUCGGUCAGGUAUCUUAUGAUUUGGACCGAGGGAUUUGGUUGCAUGCAUGUCAACCGUGACGUGUGUAUGGAUCCAAUUCCAUAUCCAAUGCAUCGCUCAACAACCAACGGAAUUGCAAGCAGUGUGAUGAUACUGUUGGGACAGAAGCUGGACGCGUGGAUCCACGGUACGUCGGUGUUUCUUGCCAGUUUCCUCUCCUGUAAGAGACGGAUGGCAGCUUCAACAAAGAAACUUUAACAGGUGGAUGGGGGUAUAUCAUACGGGACCAUGAAAGGGAUGUCGUGGUUGCUGCUGCGGGACGGCUGGAUCAUGUCAAUGAUGCGCAUCCAUGCUAUCCACAAGGCACAAGAGCUGGGCAUUGGCAACACAGUGGUAGAAACAGAUGCUCUUCUGCUUGUCUCGGCGAUCAAGACCUCUAGCUAUGAUCUUGCACCAAACGGUGCUCUGUUUAAGGAGAUCAAAGCUUUCUCUUCUCUAAAUUUUAUUUCUUUCGACAUUGUUCAUCGUCCACGGGUAUGUAAUAAGGUUGCAGACGUUCUUGCGCUGCAUGGGUCGAAGAUGGUGCUUGCGCCCCAAGCCGUAUGGCCGGGUCUUGCUCCUACCUUUGCCUAAGUUCUCGUUGCCAGCGAUUCUGCUUGACGCGGUGAUGAAUGGAAUGAAAUAUUCCCAGUUAAAAAAAAAGAGAUGGAGCGGGUUUUUUUUUAACGGCGUGGUUGAAUUAUUUGAAGGAGCGACUGAAAAUCUGCGUUGAUCUCAAAGUGAAGACGCUCGAUGACGAGUGAAAGCAUUACGUCAUAGCAGGGUACAAAAAUAAUUCUAAGCAAAAUCAUAGGUAAUUCUUAUUUGACACUCAUUGCAUCAAACUUUCGCCAAAACGCACUGUAAAUGCGCGGCCCGAUUAGUUGUACCAUAAUUUAUAGGUAUCCAGUUUUAGAAACCUUCUAAAAUGUUUCUUCACCUGUCUGUACCGGCUCUCUUUCGGAUUCUAUCCAUUCUUUAUUUCUGCUAUUUUAUUUAAAAAAUAUUCAAAGCUUAAAGAAAAUUAUUCAAAAAUUCAAACUAUUUAUAUACGUUCAAUAUAUCAAAGAAUGUUCUCAAUGUUUUAAAAUGUUCAUGUUCAGAUUUUUUUUUUUAAAUCACAGUUCAGACAAAUGUUCAAAUAUGAUAGUCUGGUACCAAAAACCUUUUUUUUUUGUGAAUCAUAGUGCCAGUUGUUGGCCUGAACUUUUUUUUAGUUUAGCUCUUUUUAGGUAACGUAGAAUUCAUUUUUUUAAAACUCCACAACUUCAUUAAACAUCUAAAAUGUCUUGAAUAACACGGUUGAGUUAUCUGAAGGAGCGAACGAAAAAAUCUGUCAGUUGUUGAUCUUAAAAUGAAGACAUUGGAUGACGAGUGAAAACAUACGUCGUCGUAUGAUAAUUCCUAUUUAACACUUGUUGCAUCAAACCUUCACCAAAGCGCACAGAGCAGAGAGAGCGAACAAGGUAAGUGGACUGCUCAAUUUGUUUUACACACAGUACGAACGCUCAUAUAUACGCACAUAUACUCAACAUUAAUGUACAUUCGAAAGACGGAGAUGACACAUCACUUUAAGAUUGACGAAAUCGCCCAGAAGCCUUUCCAUAAAUUUAGUUGUGCCAUAAUUUAUAGGGUUCCAGUUUCAGAAACCUUCUAAAAUGUUUCGCUUUUGCUUAUUUGCCUUUGGCUCUUUGCAAUUGUUAUAUUUACUGGUUUGUACCGACUUUUUUCAUUGUUUUGUUUUCUGUUAUUUUCCUUAAAAAAACUUCAAAACUUACAAAUAACUGUUCAAAAAUCCAAUAUAUAUAUGUAUUUUCUUUAAAUUUCCAAAGCUUCAAAAAAUAUUUGUGUUUUUCAAAAAAUAUUUGAAAAUAGGAAAAAAAUGUUCAUGUCCACAUUUUUUUAAAAAUGUUCAAAAUAAAAAAAAAACAAAUAUGAGAAUCGGGAACAUGUAACCAUUUUUUAGGAAUCACCGUGUCAGUUGUUGGUCUGAACCCUUUUUGUAAGAUCUAGCUUUUUCUAGAUAUCGAAGAAUUCAGAUUUAUCUUAUAACUCCACGUUUAUUAAACAUCUAAAACGUCUGUUACAUGAAUUAAAGAAGAAAGCCGAAUAUGUGCACCAACUGCUAGAGUAACUGCAGCUCUGGUUAUUCAUGUGCUCCGAAGUUUGUCUCCUGUGCUUCAUGCGCAAUUUGUGAAGUUGCAAACUGAUGCCACCUUGCUUGGAUAUCCUUAGCGAUCAUGGAUGACGAUCCCAGAAACGGUUCCCUAAGAUGAUUCACUAUAGCUAAACAGUAUGUUGCAACUCUGAACUCUUGAACAGCAUGCAUGCGUCUCCAAGAUUUCAUUAUCCCAGAGGUCCGUUGAAGAUAGAACUCGAGCACAUAGGGGCGCGUCGUCAUACACAUGCAGACCACUACACUACAUCUGCAAUGCUGGGAGCAAAUAAAAAUAAAAAAUACUAGUAUAAUUGAAUCAAUCAGGUAUCUUAUGAUUUAGACCAAGGGAUUUGGUUGCAUGCAUGUCAACUGUCAUAUGUAUGGAUCCAUAUCCAAUGCAUCGCCCAACAACCAACGGUGUAGCAAGCAAUAUGAUAUGGUAAUGUUACAAAUCUGAAGUCAGAUUCUUAAGCGUGACAAAUCGAAUGUUUUCAUUUUUAAAUUUUGUUGACGUGACUACGUGAGGAUACGAAAUUUAGUUUAGGAGCAAGACAAUUUUCCGACAGAAAAAUAAACUGAGAUAGAUUUGCCACGUUUGCCAACUAAAUUUUCUAUCCUCAACAAACACAAAUUGCCAUAAAAAAAAUUCAAUUUGUGAUGGUCAAAAAUCAAACAUCAGAUAUGUAGUGGAGUCCAUAUGAUACUGUUCGGACAGAAGCUCGAUCGACGAUACAACGAUGUAGUGCCGGAGCAUGUGUCCUCUCAUGCUAGGGACACAUGGGUUGAACUGCUUGGAGCCAAUCAUCGUGUCAGUUGUUGGGUUUAGCUUUAUUUAGGUAUCAUAGAAUUUAGCUUGGCUACAGUGCUUCGCUAAUUUCGUUGGCGGCUCGAAUCAACGGCAUGGAAAGAAGAGUGCUCCUAUAUGAUGCUUACUGCAUCAUAUAUAUAGUUGCACUGACGCACAGGCACACGGCAUAGACCGGCGACCUAGUUCAGGUACGGUGAUAUUUCUUGCUGAAUGUGUUUACGGGAGUGCCCAGUCCAUGGGUACCCUCUCAUCUGGCUUCCAAGUGGACACUCCUGAGGCACGCGGGAGUGUUUGUGGCGCCACAUGUUGCGUUUUAACGUUGUUAAUCUAGUUUAUGUUUCCCUAGGUUUUAUAUUUUCCUGUUUCUGCUCUUUUUUAUUAUUAUUCUUUUUUCGUUUGUGCUUUUCCAUCGGAAGCAUAUUCGCGCUCACGUGUUUUUUACUCCCUCCGUUCCUAAAUAUAAGUACAUCUCCUCUGAAGUGUACCACUCCUCUUAAGGAAAUAUUUGUACCAGAGGGACACACGGAGAAAGGUAAGGUUGUGAGUGGAUCGGCCACUAGGGGUCCGUCUGCUCACAACAAGACAACCGAAUUCAUGCCGCCAUCCUAUGUACUACGCAAAUCAAAGGAAGGAAAGGUCUAUGCUAAAUUCGUUGGUCCCCGUAAUGCAUUUCGAUUCUAUGCUAUUUGGGUCCCUAAGACUCUUGUAACUAAUGUGAAAGGCUCCAUGACAAAAUGGGUACCUCAAACCAAGUCUUAAUUCUUUACAGGCUAUUUUCUCCGGUGGAGCAAAAUGGGUGAUCGACAGUGGAUGCACCAAUCAUAUGACCGGAGAUAGUAACUUGCUCUAUGACUUCAUGCAAGCCAUUCGACCAUACAUGAGCAUUGUAUUUGGUGGAGGGUCGAAAGGGCAGGUAAUUGGGUUGGGCAAGGUGGCAAUCACUAAUGACAUGUCUAUUGCAAAUGUCAUGCUUGUUCAAUAUCUUCAACAUCAUUUACUUUCAGUUCGCCAAUUGGCUUCCGUCGGUUAUGACACACUAUUUGGACUAACGGAUGUGAAAGUCUUUAAGAGAGACACUCUUGAAGUGGCUUUUGUUGGAGAGUUGGAUAGCAACCUUUACACGGUUGAUUUCUCGAAAGAGAGCACUUUCCAUACAACUUGUCUAAUGGCCAAGGCCGACAUGGGAUGGUUGUGGCAUCGCCGGCUCGCCCAUGUUGGCAUAAAAAUCUUCAAAAUCUCUUAAACGGUAAUCACAUCCUUGGACUAACAAAUGUAUCUUUUAAGAAAGAUCGUGUGUGCAGUGCAUGCAUAGCUGGGAAGCAACAUCAAUCAAGACAUCCACUCAAGAACGUUGUAUCCACUUCAAGGCCGUUAGAGCUCCUUCAUGUGGAUCUAUUCGGGCCUCCUUCAUGGGCAAGUCUUGGAGGGAAAAAGUAUAGCCUAGUCAUUGUUGAUGAUUACUCAAGAUAUACAUGGGUGUUCUUUCUCAAGUCCAAGGACGAGACAAAGGUCACUUUCAUUGAUUUUGCUAAACAAGCCCAGCGGAAGUUUGACAAGGACAUUAAGGCAGUAAGAAGUGAUAAUGGCUCUGAGUUCAAGAACUACACCAUAGAAGAAUUUCUGAGUGAUGAGGGGAUUGAACAUCAGUACUCCGCACCCUACACUCCCCAACAAAAUGGUGUGGCAGAAAGGAAGAACCGGACACUUGUGGAAAUGGCAAGGUCCAUGUUAGAUGAAUACAAGUCACCACAUAGCUUUUGGGCUGAGGCCGUCAACACAGCAUGUCAUGCAUCAAACCGGCUCUUCCUCCGAUCAAUAUUGGAGAAAACUCCGUAUGAGCUCCUAACUAGGAACAAGCCCAAUGUUAAGUACUUUCGUGUGUUUGGAUGCAAAUGCUUCAUCCUCAACAAACGGGAACGGUUAGGCAAAUUUCAAUCCAAAACAACUGAGGGGAUUUUUGUUGGCUAUGGAUCAAACUCUCACGCCUACAGAGUCUACAACAAAUCCACUGGAUGUGUUAUAGAAACUUGUGACGUGACGUUUGAUGAAUUUAACCGCUCCCAUGGGGAGCAAGUUGAUCUAAAUGAUGCAGGUGAAGAAGACUCCCCACAAGAUAUCUUAAACAUGGGUGUAGGUGCACUUUUGCCUANNNNNNNNNNNNNNNNNNNNNNNNNNNNNNNNNNNNNNNNNNNNNNNNNNNNNNNNNNNNNNNNNNNNNNNNNNNNNNNNNNNNNNNNNNNNNNNNNNNNUGUCUCUCUCGGAGUUUCGGUUAUUCCUAACCCUAACUCUCUACUUGUGUUAAUCCUUAUUACAUACUUGUAUUUGCUUAUUGUUUACCGCUUGCCUUGCUUCACUCCUAAUAGCUUACUCUUUGUCAUAGCAAUUAUUAGGCUUACACUUAUAUUCCGCACUUUAGCCUAAAAUUGCUAAGUAAUUGUUAAAAUUUGGAUUUGUACCUAUUCACCCCCCCUCUAGGUCCAUCUCGAUCCUUUUCACUAUGGCUCUGGGCGGCCUUGACCGUGCGGUGGUCCACUCGUCGUGCGGUAAAGAGCUGCGCCAACCAUAGGGAUGACGAUGGUGGGUAUUUCCGUGAGGAAUUGGCAACCGUAGGAAGAGAAAUCAUAUCUCUUUGGUGAUUUCGCAAACCAGCCCUUGGGUUGUGCAUGAAUCACGUAAAAGUCCUAGCACUUUUUGAGUUAGCCCUCACGCUUAUCUAAAUUUGCUGCUAAGCCUCUGGCUUAUUGAAAAUUACAAAUGAGCCAUCAGGCUCAUGGGACUUUGAGGUUUAGCCCUCAGGCUUGCUUUCUUCAACAUUAUAACCAUAAGGUUAUUGGUAUUUGUGUUUUAUGCCCCGAGCAUUCAGAGCAAAUAUACAUGGUAGACUACAAGGUCUUGCUGAAUUGCAUAAUAAUUGGUUAUGCAUCAUUUUACAUCGUCUAAAAUGACGGUUUGAGGCCCCAAGUCCUCAUAUGUGUUGCACAUGUAUGUUAAUACUUUUGCAUUUAUUUGUAUUACAUUAGUAAUACUGUUGCAAAGCAAUAUGUUGACUACAUUAUUCACAUAGAAUAUGGAAUUUGCUUGCAAAUUUGGGGAACAUAAGAUAGUCAAGUGUAUGAUACUGUCUGACUAUGUCAAAUGUACACUUGUCACAAUAAAUUGACAAAUAGUACCCACUGCUUAAUUGUAAAUUAUUCAAUGUUAUUGUGAGGUCUAUAUUAUGUCGUUUCGACAUAAUGACCACCUUCAAUUUUUGCACACAACUUAUGGAUUGUUUUAUGGCAACGAAUUAACUUUCGUUCACAACUGUGAGGUCUACACCACCAUGUGGUGAUUACCUUCAAUGAGUUUUAACUAACAUAAGGUUGUGAGAAGCUCCAUAAGAUUGACGUCUACACUACUCAGUAGUGAUUAUCUCCAUGUGUUCAAAGCAAAGUGAAGGCACAAAACUGAUGACAUAGUCAUUAUGAGGCCUACACCAUUGUUGUAUACCUUCAUGAUGUUUUUCCAAAUAAUAGUCAAGUUCAUAGAAUUUCUCAUUGGUUGUGACUAUAGUGUCACAUACUCCAUCUGGAGAAGAAUCCAAUGCAUUAGUGGCGAUUAUGCUACAUGUUGUGCUAUGAAUGAAGAGAGUUAUGCAAAAUAUUUGCAUAUUUUGGUGAUUACCUUCUAUGAGUACACAACUUAUGAGAUGUGAUCAUACCAACGAAUUAAAUUUCGUGCACAACUGAGAGGUUUAUGCCAUUUCAUGGUAAUUACCUUCAUGUGUUUUAAAUAACAUAAGGUUGUGUAGAGGCUAUGAUUGACUAAAAUAUCCAUAAGAGUGAGGCACCACUACGUGGUUGAUUACCUUUGUGUUUUAUGGAAUUAAAGAUUUAUUCUUUAUGAGGUGACUAUACCUUCAAUUUGAAGAACUACAUCAUAGUGUGAUGAUUAUCUUCUUGUGAAGGCUUACUCAUGAAUCACUGAGAAUCACCAUGAUCAUGAUUAUGCUUAGUCAUAGCAUUUUCAUUGUACUUAAUUUACUAAAGGUAAAUUAAUGCAUGAGCAUUCAUGCAAUAUAUGGCGAACCUUUUUCGAAAGGAAAUGCGAUGUGAUGACAUAAGGUGGAAGUAACUAUUGAAAAUGGGUCAUGGACAUUAAUGAUUUUGUCGACCCGUGGCCUUGUCACCAUAGAAAUUCCACCUACACAGAAUGUCAUGGCUAUUUAUAAAUAGCUGAAAGGCGCAGAUUUGCAUUUAUGUGACAUCGCAAUGUCUCGGUUCUGAAACUGAGUAUUUAAAUGGAUGAUGAAUAUCCAUUUGCCCUUCGGGACUACCUUAGGGAGAGAGAUAUUGUGAUAAGCAUCACAUGAAUGACUAUUCAUUUAUGUUCAAGACUUGAAGUCCGUUGAUGCUUAUAAUUCUGUUGUCUAUAAAUCAACACUAAGUUGAGAUUAUGUGAUAAGGCAGUCUCAGAUCUUGAUCUGAUUGUAUGUCCUUACUGCACUUUACAUCCCCCUAUGAUGGUAAAAUAAACACCAUCUUCAUUUCAGGGGUAAAAAUAUGAUGACCUUCUUGUGAAGAAUCAUCUGGUACACCCCAAUGGGUGCUAUAUCAUUACCUGAAAUUUGUGCUAGUGCUUUCAGUACUAAGAAAUAUGUGGUUAGAGAACCACGAGGAGUUGAAAGUGAAGUGGAAAAAAGAGACAAGCAGAAAUGGAGUGUAUAUCUCACAAAGGCAUGUGUCAUUUAGAUAAAUGAUCACAAUGAAAACUCCCAAUUUUGUCAAAGGGGUGAUUGUAUGAAAUAUCGUAUUAAUGAUUACCAAACUUUUAAGUUUUUGGUUGAAUCAUGUCACUGACUCAUUGGAGAAGGCGAAUGAAUUUAAUGGGAUAAGUUUGAACUUCUAUUUCAAAUGGACAACCAGAAAAUAUUCUGAUGCAGUAGAAGGAGAAUGCACUCCUCUACAUUGAUGAUAUGCUUGUGGAAUGACAUUCCCAAGAUAUUUUGGAGAUCUUAUGUAGUCUCCUAGUUAUCCCAAUAUAUCAUUAGCCCAUAAUUGUACUACUACAGGUGGUAUAAUUUGCAACAUCUUGUCCACGGGACAUGAUAGUUGUGAGGAAUUGAGUGUACGAAGAAUUCGUACAUAAUAUUGUUGCGUACACAAUAAUUUUUCCUCCUUUACCUGUCUGGUAUGAGGACUGUUAGAAAAAAUAUUGAUAAUUCUGUUGGCCACAACAAUGUUGCAAUAUUCGUGACAAUCGAAAGAUUUUAUGUGCACUACAUGUGCCAUAGAGGAAUUAAUUUUAAGGCACUCUCACCUUAAAAUUUGAAUGUGCCACUCAUUAUUCUUGAAUGGAUCCAGGAAUGAUGCAAAAUAUUCAACCAUUGGCUGGGUUAUUUUGGUACUUCAUGGUAUUCAUAGACACAUCUAGAAGAUGGUCUUAGGUGUGUAUCAUCCACACAAAACCAUGUGUUUACUGAAUUAAGUGCUCAAAUUGACGAAUUUGAAGCAAAUGAUUAUAUGCAUGGGAUAAUUCCAUUGGAAUGGAAAUGUCGUUGAAUUUGAUUCACGAGAAAUCCAUGGUCAUAUUUGGUACGUCGUGUACCUACCCAGAAUGGUGUGGCUAGAUCUCUUGUCAAAAAGAGUUAAGUUGUUGUGGGAAAUCACAAGGAGUUAAGAGGCAUAACGAGAAUUCCACGAAUGAUAUCGAUUCAAGAAAAUCGUAUAUUGAAAGUCUACAUAUGUCGACAUAAAUUUCUUCUUGAUAAUUGCAGAAAUCCUUUUGGGCCCUGAACCAAAAUCCAUGGAAAGUGUUGUUGACACUUAUAUUGGUUCAAAUGAAAAGAAGCAAUUAAGAAGAGUAGCACUCGCUCAUCAAAAGAGAGGUGUUUAUCAUAGUAAAACCUGCUCCUCAUAAGUAUCUUCCUCAGUGAAGAGAAGUGAUUUUUCGUUCAGAAACGAAAUAGAUGAGGUGGUGAGAAAGCGAGGCUUGUAGCACAUGGGUUUCCGCAUAGACCCAACAUCAGUUAUGAUGUAGCAUACCUUCUCGGUAUGAGUGGAAUUAUGUUUCGAUACUGAAUUGGCAGUACAAAUCCAUGUGGUUGAUGUAUGUAAAGGCUACAUACUCACAUGGAUCAUUCAGUUUGGAUAAAUAUAUAUUGAAGUCAUGAAAUGGCUUAAUAUUCCGAAUCCAAUGAUAAGUUGCAACAUGUGUGAAGCUUCAGAAGUCAUCCUAUGACUUUGAACAUGUCGGAUAGUUGUGUGGUACAACCGACUAAAUGAGUUACUCCUCGAUAAGGAUUACUCUGACACUAAUGAUUGUUGAUGUGUAUUCAUGAAGAUAUCCUUAAUUGGAUUUACAUCAUGUCAUUGAUGUGGAUGAUCUUAUUAUCAAUGUCUAUACAUGACAUAUUAGAUACACAUAAUCAUUUUGAGACGGAUAUUUGGGUCAAACCAAAUGGUGCUAAGUUUAUAGCUUGAGCACAUUCCCUAAGGAAUAAAUGUAUGUCAGUGUUCAUAUAUCUAGAAAUAUUGAAAAAGUUCAAUAUGGAUAUAUCUUAUCAAAGACACAUAUGGUCAUAUUAUACCUGGCAUGGGACACAAGCCCAUUCAAACCUAGGGGAGAUGGUAAAGUGAUAAUGGACAUGAAGUUCCGUAUCUGAGUACCAUUGGAGCACAUAUAUAAAUUGCAAAGUAAGUCAGGCCUGACACUAUAUUUGUUGGCAAUUUAUUGAGAGUGCAUCCCCAGUAAAAGGUAUAAUGGUUGGUGUAAGGAAUAUCUUGAGAUAUGUCCAAGACACAAAAGGUCUUGAUUAAUUCCAUUGAGAAAAUCAAGAUGGGACCAUGGUAUGAUAUCCUGAUAGUGGCUGAUAAUUUGAUCCCAACAAUGCCAUAUCAAAGACUGGAUUUAAUGGAAGAGUAUUUUGAGGGAAGCCUUCAAAAUAGACUCUAAAUGAGUCCUUCCUAUAAUCAUUCUGCCAUAACUAUGUUUGAAGCAUGACAAGAUAUACAUGUAUUUGCAGAAUGACUAGUCACAUGUGAGAUCAUGUGAAGAUUCAUUGGAAUCAAUUAUCAUUAUCUACCAAGAUAAUGUCACUUGUAUUUCUUAUGGGUUAUAUUUAUCCUCGCAAAUUAUAGAAAUGUAAGAGGAUAAUAUGCAAACAAAUUAUGGUGAGGUUCAUAAUGUCUCUACCAACGUUUAUAUUCCAGAAUCGCAUUCGUGGAAUUGGUAUGAGACAACAUUGAUGUUUGCGAGGGGAGUAAAAUCCCAUGUUAUAACCUUUUGGUGAUCUUCAGAUCAUUCAUAUUGUACUCUUUUUUCCUUUAUGAAUUUUCCAAGAUGGUUUCUCAUAUAAGGUUUUUAACGAGGCAAUAUAAAUACAAGUGCGGAUGUAUGCCAUAUUGGUUUCUCCUUAUAUUUUUCCCACCGGGUUUUAAAGGAGUUUUCGAUGGCAUAUUAUUAUAAGGUUUCUCCUCAUUUUUUUCCACAGGGUUUUUGGAGGAGUUUUCAGUUUGCAAUAUACAGAUGACGAAUUGAUCAAGGGGGAGUGUUGAGAAUUAAACAUGUGAUCAAUUGUAUGGGAGGGAUGCCUCCGAGGAGGUGUCUGUUGGGGAAAGGUGUCUCCCUAACACACCCCUUCAUUUUGUAUAUAAGUGGGUCUUCCACAUUGCAAUAGAACUAAUGGAUCAUUUGGACUCUUCAGUUGUCUCUUUGCAUUCAUUCUACUAGGAGAUGUGAAGUGUGCCAGAGCAUUAACGGUAGCGCAGCCCUCAGGAGGGACCAUGGAGGAAGCUAGAUAGAUGCUUGGGGGUACAUAUGUACGAGACCUCCUAUAUGCCGCUCGCUACGGCAGUUAGUCGGUCCUAGCUGGGCCAACCCAUUAGCAGCACAGAGCAGCGAGUGGGAGGAAUAGGCACUGUAGAGUCCCCCCCCCUCUAAAAAUAGGGUACCAUAGCGCCGUGGAAGGUAAUGCAGCAAACCAUCACUGUAGCAGACGUUGGAAAUCCUAUUUACUUUAUUUUGAACGAAAAUUAAGGUUUUGAACAUUUUAUUUGGAAAUUAUUUUUUUUGAAAUUUUGAACUUUUUAAAAAUCACAAACAUUUUUUAAAUACAUGAUCAAUUAUUUAAUUUUUUAAACAUUCUUUCGGGAAUUACAAGUGUUUUUAAAAUCGCAUUGAACAUAUUUUUGAAAGUGAUAUUUUUUGAAAAAUGAAAAUAAAACGAAAAAAUAAUACAAAUACUGAAAAACCAAGAAGAAAACCGGAAAACCCCGUGAAGAAAACAGAAAAGAGAACUGGUUCAGGAAAGAAGAAUGUUAAUAAUACGGAUAAACACCCGGGAUAAAUGCUUUUUUCCAGUUUAGAGUUUAGAAUUUGGUUUAGAACAUUUUUUUGCUUUAGUUUCCUAUUUUCAUUAUUUAAUUUGUAAUUUGUUUUAAAUAUUCAUGCAAUUUUAAAGUCAUGAACAUUUGUCCACAUUGGCAAACAUUUAUUAGUUUCCUUUUUUAAUUUUUUUAACAUUUUUGAAAUUUAGAAACAUUUUCAAUUAAUCGAACUUUUUUGGGUUUCAUGGCCUUAUUUAAAAUAUGUUUAAAUUGAUCGCCAUGCGCUCGCCCGCUGGCGGAUGUAGUGGACGUGGUGGGUCGCGGUCCGUGCUGAGAUUUUAUUCCAGCCCGUAUACCAUUGGAGAAUAAGAAAUGGGCUGAAGAAAACAAAUAAAAUAAAAGCCCAGCAAUCCAGUGGCCUCGCGAGAAAAAAAAAACCCCGGCGAGUCGCGAUUCACCUUUGCGGUUCUUCCCUCUUCUGAUUUUACUCGCCGCCAGCCAGCCCUGCCGCCAGCCGCCGGGCACGCCUCGCCGGCGACUCGCUGUCGCCGGAUUCCCAGAGGCCCAGGAGCCCGGGAUGGAAGCUCAGAUUAGAGAUUAAGCUCCGAUUUGCGGAUUAUAAGCAGCGCGGGACAGGGGACAAAGAUGGCUGCUGCCGGCGCGAAGGCGGUGCCGCCCACCUUGCUGUCGCUGUGCUUGCAGGCGGUCGCCGCGCAUCUCACCGCCGACGCGGCAGGCUCGGGUCGAUCCGGCGGGUGCGGUGCUCAUUUCGACGGGCUCGUCCAGGAGCUCGAGGAGGAGGAGGAGGAGGGUGGCGGCCACCUCGCGCCGGAGCAGGUCGCGGAGGCGCUGCCUUGGGAGCUUCUCCACCAGCUGGCGUCCUAUCUGCCGCCGUUCGCUCUCGAACUGCUCCAUCACGGCGCCCAUGUCCGGUACCCUACCCCUCUCCCCGUCCUUGCCUCCUCCCAUGGACCAUGGAUUGGAUGCAGUCUCUAUCUUCUUCCAUAUGUGGAGUACAGUGUAGUGUAUUCCUUCCACUCCUUUUAGUAUUUUCUUACAUUUUCAAAGAGAAAUUGGCUAAUCAUUUUGCAUUUCUGAUUGCCCAUCCUAGAUGCUGCUCUUCUGCUUCACUUACCGAUCGGUUCGGAGAGGCCGGCGGCAACAGACGUGGGACGAAACGUUCAAGGUGACGCUCAUUUGUACACUAAUGAGUCAGCUGCUGCAUUUGUUACAAGACGUCGGCCAAGAGAAUACUCCCUCCGUUCCUAAAUAUAAGUCUUUGUAGAGAUUUCACUAGUGGACUACAUACGGAUGUAUAUAGACAUACUUUAGAGUGUAUAUUCAAUCAUUUUGUUCCGUAUGUAGACAUGUAGUGAAAUCGCUUAAAAGACUUAUAUUUAGGAACGGAGGGAGUACUCUUCAAGUAUUUGACAGUGUUGAUGCUCGCAGGUGUGAAGACUUCAACACUGCAUGGCAGGCAUUGUUCGAAUUUCGCUGGCCCCUCCACGAUAACACUGGACAUGAUGACUUGGUUACUCUAGACUGGCAGCAGAAAUACUGGGAAAAGCAUCUGCAAGAGUGUGUUAUCAAACAGUUACAGAUGGGUUAAUCGUUGAUUAAUCCAGUCUGGACUGACUUUUGUCACUUCUUUUUACCCUUCCACAGGUGCCUGGAUGAAGCUGCAGAGGCCGCGUCGCUUCCUUCAUUUCGUGGGCAUAUUGGUGAGCUAAGUAUGUCAGGUGAAUAUAUAAAACCCCUUCCUCCUUCAGUAUUUGUUAUGCUUGACAUUGGUUGGUUGUUUACUCGCCAUAGUGAACAACUAUCAUACCAACAUGAGGCCUUGAGCUGAUUUGUUUCCUAGCCAAUAACAGCUUUAAGUUAUGCUUGCAGUUAGUUGUAACUGCAUUAUUGCACCUGCAGUAGCUAUUGAAAUUAUCUUCAAGUUUAACUAUAAUCUAUGCAGAUAAAACCAUGAGUUGCGUUUACCUCAGUGAGAACAUAGCUCAGCAGUAUUCGAGACUGUCAUAUCAUUGGACCAUACUUGGAUCCUAUGCAAGGUGCGAUCAUAUUUGUCAUUUGUUUGUCAUACCCAGUUCCUCUUUAACUCAUAUUUAACCUUUACAUGGAUAACUGCCUGGUGCUAGUGAUUUAUAUUCAAUUAAAGAAACCCCCACUCGUAAGUAGUUAGAGAUCGGUAAUAAUCUGGUGGGGAUCUCUAGUCAUGUUAUGCAAUGUUAGUUUUUCCAGUUUAAUUACAACAUGGACCUAGCUCAGAUCAGGUUGCUUCCAGCAUCCUUCAAGAACUAUGUAGAGAAUAGAUUUUCUUUGUUCUUACUAUAGUAAUUUUAACUUAUUUUCAGGUGCUUGAGAUUUCAAAAUGUGCUUUGCACGGCUGAAAUUUGUGUAAGUGCUCAAGCAGUACCUUUUUCCUUUAUUUUCCCACUGUCUAUGAUUAAUUAUCCACGGUCCGUAGCAUGUGUUGUUCAAUUGUGCAUGUGUUGUUUAAUUGUGUAUUUGUAUUGGGAAAAGUCAUGGAUGAAUCCAUGGGCAUAUGAACCCACUUUGGAAAACCCAUUUUUAAUUGCCCGAAAAUUAUAAAAAAAGUUCCAUGCAUACAUCUUCACAUUCUAUGUGCGCACAGAAAAUUUCGUGGAAACACAACUUUUUGUUCGGCCUGUGCAAAAAAGACAAAAAAAUAUGUCAUCUAACGCUAUUUAGGAGCACUGAAAUUUGUCUUUUUUGCAGAGGCACAACAGGAAGAGUUUCUUCCACAAAACUUUGUGUCGGGCACACAUGUUACGAAAAUGUAUGUGUGGAAUUUUGUUUCAAUUUUUUUGACAUUUUAAAACGCAUUUAAAAUGCAUUUUUAGAAAGUGGGUUCAUAUGCCAAUGGGUUCAGUAUGUCCACACUCAUCUGUAUUGCUGUUAUUUUGUUGGUAUUUUAUUAUACAUGUACCGCUCCAUCAUCCAUACAACAACAAAUGUGCACUCAAAUUCCGGAAAAGUUGUCCUUCGUGCUAUAUAUGUUUGCAUGUGUAUGGCAUGAAAAAUGUGAAUUCAUUGUGUAAAGUUCAAACUUAAGACAGUUAUGGUUGACUGCUAGAAAUCCGUUGUUUUUCAGGACAUGUUGCAACAUAGCAGGCUAGAAACUUUGGUGUUUGUAAGAAUCAUAUCAGAGCUUGAGGUAAUAUUAUGCCGGUAAGAUUAUGUUUGUUGUUGCAUACAAUAGCUUUAGGGAACAAAAAUGCAGAGCCAUGGGCUGCAACUCAGUUAAAAGUAACAUUAUGUUCCAUAGUUCAAGUUCCCGUGUCACGUAAACUAUAUAUCUUUGUACCAUAAGAGACAUAGGGAAAGUUAAUGUUGAGGCAGCGUUGUUAAGAAGCAUGCCAAAGAAGAACUGACUAGAAAAAAAAAUUAUGCAGCAGAUAAGCUACACACUUGUAGUAUCCUUUACGGCAUGAUGGCUCGUAUUGUUGCUUUGCUCUGUUUUGUCAGCUGAUACUAAGCUAAGAGUGGUCCAAUUUUUUAAGCCCCUUUUCAAUUUCCACUGACAGGUGAAUGCUGUAUGCCGGCUUCUGAGCUGCCAUGCUAGGACACUGUUAUCUCUUGAAUUUAUCCACUGCCAGCUUUAUCCUGCAGUCAUGGAUAAAGUUUGCACUAGUCUUUACCAGCCAGGAUCCCAAAACUACAAGAUCCAGUCCUUCAGUAUUAAAUCAUCUCGCAUAAGUGAAAGCAAGUCUCUAACCACCUCUGCUGGUCUAUUAAAUUUUCUGUCAUGUGCAAAGUAAGUUGCAUGUCCUCUUAUUCCACCUUCGUUUUAUUUUUGAACAGAUGUCGGGGAAUAGCCCGAGGAACCCAACCUUUUUUCCCUUUAUCAUUCUUUUUUAGCAAUUGUUGUUGCAUUAUUCUAUACAAUGGCACUCUAAUUAGAUGCUCAGUUAAUGAUUCCAUAAUAUAAAUUAGGGAGGAAAUUUUAUCCAGCCAUUUUAUGCAUUUUUCAUGAGAAUACUCUCCUAUUCUUCCCAUGUUGUAUUUGUUAGUUUAUGCUUCACAUAAAUUUUUAUUGAAGUAAAUACUCUCCCUGACACCAUGGAAAGAUUUAACACCAUUUUGAGGGUUUUGUGGAAUGGGCGCUGAUAGUUUGGCUGUUCUAGGUCCUUCUGAAAAAUCCGGAUAUGACCGUGGGUUUAACCGGAAACUGAAAAGCGGUGCCAGAUCCAGUCAUGUUGAACUUUUACAUGUUUUACAUGAAAAAAUAGUUUGCAUUAUUUUAUUCAGAGUAUCAUGACACACCCAUGGACGAUAUGGUCAUUCAUCUUAAAGCAGAGAGCAGUAGAAUAGAUUAGAAUGCAAAUAAAAAAAAGAGGCAAGAAUAAGAGUAACGAUAUGUAGAAGUGAAAAAAGAAAUCACCUAUUCAUCCUGUCAUUCAAUUUGUCCUGGUAACCUCAUGCCUGCAUCUCCAACCUAGUCCGCUAGUCGGUUGUUUGGGAUUUAAGAUUGGUAUAUGCAACAAACUGGUUAUGGUGCCUGUCUGUAAGCAUAAAUGGCAUGAUGUUGCUACUUAAUUACUGAUUGUUUGCCAAAAAGAUUGGGUGCACAUUAGCAUUGUUUUAUUCUUACUAUUGUUCAGGUCUCUGCAGUUGCUGUCAUUUAAUGAUGCUAAGAUGCAGCCAUCAUUUGCUAAGAUAAUUAUUCGUACUCUCCUUGAAGCUUCCUCCGGUUUACACACGCUUGACAUGUCAGAAAACAAUGUGGGUUCACACAAGAAUCUUUUCUUCUUUGAUAUCUGUUUCUUGGACCCAAAUAAUCUCUCUUUAUAGUUUGCAGGCUGGUUUUCUACUGCAGACAGAAGUUCUACAAGUUUAUCAUCAGCGUUGAAGUCAAACACAUCCCUGAACUCCCUGACUGUUCUUAACCUAAGGUAUUACCUGUUGCCUUUCAGCACCCGCCAAAUCGUCAUAAUUAGAAACCUUUAUUACCACUUCCUUUUCGAAGUUGGCAUGACUUGUGUAUUAACAUAUCAAUUUGUCAUGUCAGGGGAAACAAUUUGCAGGAGGGUGACAUGGAGGAUGUAUGCAAAAUUCUAGCAAAGAUGUCUAAUUUGAGAAAUUUAGAUAUAAGCGACAAUCCAAUCACUGAUGUGGGUAUCAGGUAGUCAUCAACAUUGCACAUGUAGUGUCUGCUGCUAAUUGUAGGCAGUAGAGUUAUGCUAUAUUGCUAUCUGUUUGUCUGUUUGUCUUCAGUUUUCUCUAGAUUUGCAUCAAUCAUGAAUGGAUGCAUAAUACUUCCUCCGUUCCUAAAUAUAAGUCUUUUUAGGCAUUUCACUAUGGAUUACAUACGGAUGUAUAUAGACAGACUUUAAAGUGUAGAUUCACUCAUUUUGCUCCGUAUGUAGUCCGUAGUGAAAUCUCUAAAAAGACUUGUAUUUAGGAACGGAGGGAGUAGUUCUUUAUGCCUGUGGUCAACUUCAAGACAAUUAUUCCUUGUAGACUCUGUUAUGUCCUAUCAGUAAGCACUAAGGAGUUACAUAUAAACUUGCAGAUACCUUAUGCCUUUCCUUGAAUUGGCUCUUCAAAGGGGGAAUCCACUUCAGAGAUUAAGAGCAGAGAACUGUGAUUUGUCCAGUAUCGGUGUGACUAAACUUCUUGAGUGCCUCACAUCGAUUAAUAAACCACUUGACAUGCUGUCUAUAGCAGAUAAUCAUCUUGGGAGGUAAGUCCUUUCUCCCAGUGCAGAGUUUCUGUUGUUUCUUUAGCUUGGUUCACAUUUUGGACUAUGAUGAAUUUUCAGUUCUGUGGCAGCUACAUUAGUGAAAUUCCUGGGUUCACAUGUAAGGGAGCUAAAUGUUGAAGACAUCGGCCUAGGACCAAUAGGCUUCCAAAUACUUGAGGAAGCAUUGCCAAGGAAAGUAAAUCUCUCCCACAUCAACAUUAGGUAGAAUAAACUCUGCCCGACUCACAAUGAUGAAUGCUUGACGUGCAAGUUUCCGUAGUCACUUCAAAUUUUAUUUUGCAGUAAGAACCGCGGUGGGAUGCGUACUGCAUACUUCAUUUCCAGGCUGAUACUGCAAGCACCGAACCUUGUAUCAGUCGAUGCAGGAUCUAACCUUUUACCCCCUGAAUCGCUGGAAGUGAUAUGUAAUGCAUUGAAGCAAACAACAUGUAAGAAACACGCUUCUUCGUGUUCUCCUUAACUAUGUUCAAGGCCGUCCCUAAUGGGCAUGCACCAAGGAGAAUGGUCAAUAACCAGUGGGCCUGUUGCAGGUAACUUGGCGCGACUAGACCUGAUGGGCAACCUGCAAUUGUCGAGUGCUAUCUUUCCUGCAGUCUUCGAGUUCAACAAGCACGGAAAGCCAAUCCUGCUUGUUCCGUCGGAGCAAGGUAGCUGUGCACCCUACGAUGCCGACCCGUAAGCUGUAAGUAGCACUUAUUAUACUGAGAAUUAUGAAAGGUGUCUGUUAUUUUUCCUUUGCAAGUUUGGGUGAAACCUCCUAUUUGCAUGAUCAAGGGAUGCAUGACGCUUUUUGCUGUAGAAGUUGGAGAAAGUGCACAAAGACUUUCAGUUAAUAAAGCAAAGCUACUUGGGCAACCAGGAAAAGGAGGCUUAGACGUCGAUUGGGGCAAAUAUUUAUCAUCAUUCCUUCAGCAGAUCACACGUAGAAUGAAGUGAAGUUUAAUUCGAGAACCCAACCACGAGUUGGUUCAUGAUUGGUUCUAGGGGUGCAGGACGGCGUCCCGCAAAGUCCGGCAAAAACAGCCAGCUAGUACACAGCUAGUACAAAUUAAUGUCACACAGUUUAAGACUAUCCAUAAUGGGAGUAACAUAGGUGAUAUGUCAUGUGGGGCCAGACUUAUAGGCGCAAGGGUCCUGCACCUCCCUAAUUCUGUCCUAGUUUAAUUAUAGAGUCCUAGAUUUAGGUUCAAGAGUCUGGGUCUUAAGUUGGAAAGGUUUUGUCCCGAAGAAGGUUACCCUGCCAACCCCCAAUUAGAGUUGAAAUCUGUUCGUUUUUUAAUUGGCUACUUAUAGCCACCCCUAUGCGAUCAAUAAAGGAAGGCAGAAAAUAAUCUAUCUUCUCCCCUCGUGCACCUGCACCUCGGUGCCCCUCCUCACCUCCUUUCUUAACCAUAGGUCGGUGAGGGGUUCGCCCUCGUCCUCCAACCUUCCACGACCACAACCUCCGUACCAAUCCAACCCCAGCCCGUGACAUGGUAACGUCACGAAAAUUGCUUUUGGAACUCGGCCUCCAUGGUGGCCUUUAAAUUUGAAAUCCAAAAUUCAUGAAAAUUCAUAUUUUUACAUUUCAAAAAUUCUGAAAAAAUACAGAGAUAAGUGAGGGUGUAACACACAUGUGUGUAAAUUUUUAGAAAAAAAUAUGUUGAAAUGAGGCUUGUGCAAAAAAAACAAAUCUGAAGCUUUUUAACACAUGAUACUAUUCAUCGUCUCCGGCCAUGAAUUUAUUUUUUUGUGCCGAUCGUAUUUCAAGGUAUUUCAUCCUAAAAAUUUACACACAUAUACGUAACAUCCUUCUUUACUUGCAUAUUUUUUUCAGAUUUUUUUUAAACCGAAAAGUUUAAAAUUUGAUUUUAUUCAGAAAUUUUGAGCUCCAUGGAGCUAUGGAGCUCGGCCUCCAAACGUCCGUUCUCGUAACAUCACAUAUAUCUAAAAUAGAUGGUGUGACAAGUAUGAGGAGAGAUAUACAUGUGGUAACAUACUCCCUCCUAUCCUUUUUUACUCUAGAAUUGUCCAAAGUGAAACUUCGUAAAGUUUGAACAUAUUUAUUUAUAUGAAACAAUAUCAACAUCUGCAAUGCUAAGCUUUUACAAUACAAAAAUUAAAGUCAUGACGCUUCUAAUGAUAUUAAUUUCACAUUGUAAAUAUUGGUAUUUUUUCUCUAAAGUUGGUUAAACUUAACUAGGUUUGACUUUUAGACAAAUCUUAUAUGCGAACUAAAAAGGACGGAAGGGAGUAGUAUGUUAUUCACAUUAUGAGUAACAUCACCCCAAAACAAAAUGAGUUUAUAAUCUAAUAAAUGAAGUAUUGCAUGGCACCGUACAUAUGUUACUCCCCACAAUGACUAGUCUAAUCUUUCUAUAACUGACAUUUUAGUUUUGAAUAGGAAGCGGGAUGGUUCGGACGCCCUGCAGCCCUAAUUGGUUACAUGCCUGCUGGUUUUUGCAUGAAGUUUGAUCCGAGAGGAGGCACCCAGGUGGUCCAGACUGUUGAGAACGAGUAUUUAACCAAAAACUACCACACUUCAUGAAACCAUGCCUACAAACUACCACUUUAUGAUUUUAUCCUGAAAACUACCAUUUUUUUCCUAAUAUGUGACUAAAACCUAUCAUUUUUGAGACUUGGUAGUUUUUAGUCACAGAUUAGAAAAAAAAAGAUAGUUUUCGGGACAAAAUCAUAAAGUGAUAGUUUGUAGGCAUGGUUCCAUAAAUUGUGGUAGUUUUUGGUUAAAUACUCACCUUAUUUAGCUUUUGGUCAAUCUUGGCCAUUUCAGACGUGGAGAUUUCUCUCCCUUCUGUGAUUUAAUGAUUGGGACUCUCCCUGUUUUUCCUUGCUUAAAUCAGUGAGAGGCAAAGCUCUUGCAUUUUUUCUCAAAUAAAAGAAGGAACGGGGAAGAGAUGAAGUUUGAACAUACCUGCAUGCCGUUGGCGGUGAGAUUCGCCUCAAAACAUCCAUCAAUUUGGAGGUGAUUUUUGAGAAACCCCUCAUCAAUUAGGAGAAUCACCUCAGAAUCUCUACCAAUUUGAGGCUUUUCUGAAAAAUUGUCAAGUGCUCGUGUAGAACAGGGGGACAGCUAGAAGCAAUGUUGUGCAUUGGACGUGAGGACGUGAAGCUUCUACCUUGACCCUAAAAUAUAACAAGCUGCCACCUUCUCAAACAUCACAGCUACAAGGAAUACUUCCAUAAUAUCUAACCAAUUGUGUUCCAGAAGAUGCACAACAGCCAAAAAAGAGUCAAAGCGGUUAAACUGCAAGAUAUGAGUAUUUAAUCAAAAACUAUCAUAAUUCAUGGAACCAUGCCUACAAACUAUCACUUUACAAUUUUGUUCCGAAAAAUACCAUUUUCCUAAUCUGUGACUAAAAACUAUCAUUUUUAGAUUUGGUAGUUUUUAGUUACAGAUUAGGAAAGAAAUGAUAGUUUUCGGAACAAAAUCAUAAAGUGAUAGUUUGUAGGUAUAGUUUCAUUAAUUGUGGUAGUUUUUGGUUAAAUACUCGUUGAGAACGGAAUCCUCCCGACGAAGGAAUAUUUUGGCUUUGUUUCAUGUGCAUUUCUACAACCAGUCGACCAUCUAUCUUGAGUUAGGCAGAAUAUAUCUUUGGUUCACUUUUUGUACAACAAACAAUAGAUGUAAUGUAAAGCCAAACAUAUACAACUAGUAUGAUGUUAAAAACGCUUUUAUAUUAUGGGACAGAGGGAGUUGUUUCUAGUAGAGAGGAGCAGUUCGUGCUAAUAUGAGGUGACAAAGUGGUAUUAUUCGUUGGGCUUCUUUUUUGUCACAGGUGAAUCAGAAAAUUUAAAAGAAGCCCUUGCUGGUGCUUAGCGGGGCGUUUGCCGAUUAUGAGGGUGAGGUUCUCGGGGUAAAAAUCUGGUCGAUAACUAACUUUGGGAAGGAUGUGAUUCGUUUAGUCCUAAUAGUCGUAAUUAAAUCAUUUAUUUAAUAUACUUUUUCUGUUUUAAAAUAAGUGACUUAAAAUAAGUCUUGUCACGCCGCGGCACGGACUGCAUAGUGUGGCGUCGUCUUGUGGCACCCAACCAUGGUCGGUAGUACGACCAGCCGCAUCCUGGCCACGCGGGAGGAGGUAAUGAAGUGGUUGGAGGCGUGCCGUCACUGUGCCGCCUCGCCCUGUCGCGGUCGGCUAUGGUCAGAGGUUCGGUCGCCGGCACUGCAGCCAUGUGUGUGCUGACCAGUGGUACUCGGAUCGUUGUAGCCACGUCUGGCUGAUGUGUCCCCCGUCGCGUUAGCCUGGGUGAUGUGGAAGGUGCUGACCCGCCGGCUGGCGGGUCGCCCACGAGCCGGAUAGAGGGCGGUCUCGCCCUAAGCUAGCUCGCGUUGUGUAGGCGGCCAGGGGCAACCGGUUUACGGGAGUAAGCGUCCGUCCCAUACUAUUUUGAAAAAAGAAGGGGUUGCCCGAAUGAGCCUAUCUCGGGUUUAUCCCCCUUCAAUCAUGGUAGUACAAGGAAAACUAAAAGUAAUAAAAAUUACAUCCAGAUCCGAAGACCACCUAGCAACGAUUACAAGCACUGAAGCGAGCCGAAGACGCUCCGUUGUCAUCGUCCUUCCUUCGUUAGAGCCGGACAAACGUUGUUGUAAUAGACAAUCGAAAAAUCGUCGUACUAAGAUCCCAUAUGAUCACCAACACACGAGAACAACAAACGUCACAGAUGAAAAAUAUAGAUCGAAAUUAUCCAACCUAAAAACAUACGGACAAAGACGAAGGACGAACAGAUCCGAACAAAUCCAAAUAAAACAGAUCGUGGAAAACACAAUUCCACAAACACACCGACAAACGUAGCGUUGCCGUUGCGUUUGGUCUAAACUGGAGGUACUUUUGGCUUCUCCAUCGAUCAUAGGAGCAAUUACUGGAGUGAAGCCGUUUUCUUCUUCUUCUUCUUCUUUGUUGCUGGAGUUGGAGCGAACCCGUCGACCCAGAAUAAUGAACGAGAGCACGGACAUGCCGGUGUUCGUACGUACGCACACUGCUGUUCGUCGUUAGGCACUGUAGAUCCAACUAACCAUCUCAACCGUCUAAUCACUUGAUCAACGGACUGAUUUCCCUAUUAACAAAAUCCUGGUCACUAACGAAAAGUCCCUCGUCGCUAACGAAAAAAAAUCGCCGCGAUCGGCCGCGAACUGCUCCCGCAAGCCCCCUCUGGCCCGCUCGCCCCCACCCCGCUCGUCUCGCUCGUCCCGCGCACGGCCGCCGCCGCUCCGCUCGNNNNNNNNNNNNNNNNNNNNNNNNNNNNNNNNNNNNNNNNNNNNNNNNNNNNNNNNNNNNNNNNNNNNNNNNNNNNNNNNNNNNNNNNNNNNNNNNNNNNGGGCGCGUGACCCGACGGCGACCCGGCCGGGAGCGCGCACGCGGCCGGCAUGGGCAGGUCGCGCUCGCUCGCACGGAACGGCAGGACAUAGCCCGACGCCGACGCGGCCCGGGGCCUGUGCGCAUGCGUCCGGGCAAACGCGCCUCUUGGGCGCGCGGACCGGCACCGGCGCGAGCGUGCACCCAAGGUAAGUACGUACUGCGUGACGGCAAACGGUGGCCUGUCGCUCGCACGGACAAACAGGACAUGACUCGCGGCGACGGACGGCCGUGCGUCCACCAGCUCGACGGGACGGCGGCGACAGACGGCCGUGCAUCCACCAGCUCGACGGGACGGCCAACGUAUAGCACGUACGUGCGUGCGGCGGCGUAAAUGAAUGCACGCUCGUACGUAUAGCACGUACAGUACGUAACGUACGUACGCGCGCGCGUACCGAUCGAUCUCGAUCUGGCCGCGUUGGGCGGCGGCGCAUUGAUUAACUGGGCGCGCGUGACCGUGGAUCCGUCCGUGAUCCGGUGCGGGCGGGCGUGCACGGUGCGUACCGUUGCUGGUACGCUGCCGCACCUGCCUGCACGUACAGGUCUACACUACAUGCCCUAGGCUUAGGAGCCGCGAUGCAUCGGCAUGUUCCGGUAGUCCACGUACGUAGUACCGCUCGCUCAUGCAUGUGCAGUUUGUCUCCAUGCCGAUCCACCUGCCCCCGUCCCCUGGCCGCUUGCCCCGCUACCACGGCGCCCUCAACUCACCUCCAUCCUCGGCGAGUAAAUAGCCAAAAACCAUCACAAUUAAAUUAUUUAUUGUGAAAAAUCAUCGUUUUCAUAAAAGUUUAUCAAAAAUAUUGAUUUUGAGUAAUUGUUUGCUCAAAGCAUAAAAAACGACGCUGGAUCGCAUUUUAUCAUGAAAACUGACAGUCGGGUCCAUUGUGAGUGAUGAUGCGGCAUAGAAAACUCACACCGUUUGACACGGCCGUUAAGCUCACAUAGGGCUUACCUGUCAUCCUCUCUCCUUCAUCUUCUUCUUCCUUCUUGCUCAUGUACUGCUAUCCCACCGCGCCGCGCUUCCCCUUCCUACGACUUAUCCUACUCCGGCGAGCACCGGGACGUCGAAUCCGACGCGCCAUGUCGGCUGCCGCUUCAAGUACCUCUAUGCCGAAUCGGGCGGGAGGGUCGCGGGAACCUUGAACUCAGCCUCCCCGGAGCGAGUUGGGGCUCGGGCGCGCAGGAGCUCAGGAUAUCCGGUGAGGGCACGUGGGUAGCUCGGCCUCCCAUGAGUGAUCAGGAGCGCGGGCGCGCGAGCUCCUCCUUGUCGCCCAACACGCCACUCAACUCGCCGGCUGCUGCUGCCUCCUCCACGAGUCAAGUUGGCUGCGCGUAGGAGCUCAGACUCGCUGGAGCGGGCUCGCGGGGACCUCGCUGGAGCGGACAGGGGCGCCGGCGCGCGAGCUCCUCCUCCUUGUAGCCCAGCACGGUAGCCACCUUGUCCUCCAUGGGCCCGUGCAGAGCUGCAGGGGCAGCUGACUUUGGUGAUGCUCCGACGAGUUGCGCAACGACACCACCACGUCGAACUCCUUCGUCGUGCGGAAGCUAACUGUCCUCCACCUCUCCACCCCGAUGCACUCAAGAUGCUUGAUGAAAUGCAAGAGAGAAUUAUAGGUGUUCACAUAUGUGCUCCAUUGUAACCUAACGCUUCAGUCAGAUAGUCCAACGCCCGUCUUGGCUGGCCAUUACCCCGUGCCACGUGGCCCUAACAAAUGGGUCCAUUGUCAUUUUUCAUGUCAAAAUGUCGUCAAUCAUCGUUUUCAGUGCUUUCGGUAAACAAUCAGUUAAUAUCGAUAUUUUCGGUAAACUUUCAUAAAAAUGAUGGUUUUUCACGACUCAACUGUGCUGGUUUUCAACAAUUUACUCAUCGCCGGCUCGACCCAAACCAGUCAACACGAGAAAUAUAUGGAGUGCAGACGAAGAGGGCGGUGCAAUGGCAAUGUCAGGAGGCUGAUCGAUGGAAACUGCCGGUGACCAGCAGAAACAAGAAGCCGGUUCCCGCAAAAUAAAUGACCGGGAAAGAUCCCUUUUGGACGCUGCUCCUCGUCAGGUACUGUGAUCGGGACCGCGCGCCCUCCGAUCUAUUUUUGUUUUCCUACUCUGAUCAUCUCUCUAGAUCUUUACGGCUUGCUGUUGGCGGUUUCAUGCGGUAGCUAGACUUUUAUUCCAUUCCAUUCCUUUCCUUUGGCACUGAGACGAUCCGGGGUACUCCCGUCCUCCCGUUAUUUUUUGUACGGUGGAACCCGGUUCAUUCUUGGCUCCUACGGGGAAAAAAAAGUUACUGACCUGCAUCGAUAUCGAUCGGUCGAGCCAUAGUUUUUUCACCGUGUACGGCGACGUGCCGACGUCCGCCCCGGUCUCGGCGAUGCGAUAAGCAAGAUACGUGUGUGCCGGACCGUACAUACCGUAUUGGCGCGAAAGCAUCAUGAUUACCGGUCGUGAUCAGCCCCACGAUCAAGUGUCACGCCGGGUUUGCUCACAUCCCACGUACGUGCGUACGCCUCGAUCGAGAUUGCAACGGCGAUGAACCCGGGCAUUGGCACAUGCACAUGCAUUGACGCAUGAAACACGAGACCAUCUACGGCUUAGCUAGGCCGGUCCUCUACGUUAACGUUAACGUUAACAUCAUCAUAGAUUCAUAUCUAGCCACAUGCUGCGCAACUUGGGCAGCACACGUACGUGUCGCCUCUCCAUCGGACGCACACAUCAGCCGUACGGAGCAAAACAAAACAUUGGUACUCCUACAAGAAAGAGUACGAUCACGGAUCGCUCCUGUUACCACGCACGCACGCCCGGCAAUCAAAGUGUCCAAGUAUAUAUGCCGUGCACGCGGCCAGCCAGCCAGUCACACCAAACCUCUCGCUCUCGCAUGGCGUGUGUGCAUCGCCGGUCUAUAAUAAAUUGUACGUGUAGCGUCGGUUGAUAAAUCGCGUAGCGGUGCCGACCAAGUGCAAUGUAAAAUGUGUCGAGUUAGUCGCAACAAAACAUGAUGAUUACGGUCGUGAUCAUCGGCCCAUCAUCAAGUGUGUCACUCUCGUUCGCCAUGCAUGUACGGCCUCGAGAUCGCAAACUGCGGAACACGAGUCGGCCUGGUCCUGGAAGUAGGAGUAGUACUAAUUAUAAAGAGCAUAAUUUUUUUCCCAAUCGUGCUCACAUCCCUUCUCAUUAAUCAUUUAACGGAAAUACAUCGUACGAGUUUCUCGUGAACUAUCGACCAAAUGCUAAAGAGAACAGAAAACAAGGAUAAAACUAAAAGAUAGAAAAGGAAAAAAACGUGUUGGAGCAUCGGCAGGAAACCGUUGCGAAUGUUUACAAAAGAAACAUCCAUCGUGGGACGAAAAUCUACCGACACUACCCAUCACACAACAUAAAGGAACCGUACUACCAGGAGAUCAAUCCACUCCCUAAGAGUCUAACCAUGACUGCAAAAAAGAUCACAAACACACUCAGCGGGCAUCAAACCCCCGUGAGGAUAACACGUAGCCAGACUUCAACCAACAUGAGCUCUACCAUCAUAGCCCAGCGCAGCUCUGCUCCGAAAACGAUCGGCCUAAGAUGCCGCCACCCGCGCCAUCAACUGGACUCCUGCCUGAAGCUUAGACUUGUUCCUUCCUUUCAAAUGACCUGACCAGUAUAUUACGAAAGAACAAGCAGUGAAAACGGCUUCUAAUGGACUUCUAACCACAUGCUUCUUAAAGGUAACUUUGUUACAAGUGCACCAUAUACUCCAGCAAAUAGCAGCCAAAAUCAUCAUAUAAAAUUUACCAUCCCCGGCAGGAAUCUGUAUAGCCAGGCCUAGGAUUGCCACAAGGAAUAUGGACAACAAGUUGCGCCAACAGCUACCCUGAACAUCCCCUAAACCGAACGAGCAAAAGUGCAGCCGAAAAACAGGUGCUCCGAUGUUUCAACAUUCUCACAGAAGGAACAUAAUGGAUUUUCGGGCCAGUUUCUUUUCCGCAUAUUAUCGCUAGUAAGAACAACAUUUUGCAAUAGCUGCCACAGAUUUUUUUUUAAUUUUCAGAGAAAUAUUAGCUUUCCAAACCCACUUAUAGUCAGGUCCAUUAAGGUCUUUCUCCAACCAAUUGUAAUUAAACCGAUUUAACAGAAAACAAUUUGUUAGAAUUAAAUUUUCAAACCACCUUAUCGGCAAACUAGAUAACACCAAGUUUCGAGCAUCAUUAACAAUCUCUUUCCAUCGUCGAGCCAGCUUCCCGAAUAGCGUACGUCUAAAUGAGAUGUCAUAAUUGUUACCGACAAAGGUUGCAAGAUUGCAUUUUUAAUCAUCACAUAUAUCAAAUCACAUAGGACAGUUAUCUUUUAAAGGCAUGUCAUCAAACCAAGGUUCGUGCCACAAUCUGACGAGACCCCAUCAUUCCUAGUGAUCUCUCUACCAGCCAUAUACACAUCAAUUAUAAAUAGCAUCAUAAUUAGGGCCGUAGUAGUACACUUCGUCUACAACCGACUGGUGUCGCAUCCCGGCCGUAUCCAUCAACCCAGGCCCCGUAACCCGUCAGUACCAUAUACAGUAGCAAACUGGUACGUACGAUAAACUCAUAUUACCACACAUGUCCAAGUCAGCCGUACACACGGUCACGUCACGCACAUAUAUAGCAGCACACGCGUAGUAAAUAUAAGAAUUGGGUGUGUCUAGGGCAAUCUCCACACAUGUGUAUAAUCUUCACGUAAGACCAUUGAUAUAGAACUCAGAUAUAUAAUACUUAUAUCACAUCUAGAUGUGUUUUAAUAAAGGGUGUGUCUAGGUCUCAGCCGACUGAGACUUCGCGACUGAGACUUCGCAAAAUCUCAGUCAAGUAGUAUAAUAUGAGACUGAAAAAAAAUGCAAAAUCUGCACGCGUCUAAAUGCAAAAAUCUGCACGAAUCUAAAUGCAAAAUCAACGAAUUAUAGGCCCUGUUUGGAUACUCUAACCGGGUUAGAGGUUAGAGUUAGAUUCUAACCCUCAACUAACCCUGAACUAACUCUAACCCAAGAGGUGUUUGGAUGAGAGGGUUAGAUUGGCAAUAAAUGCUUUUUCCCAAUCAUUUUACUACUUUUGUCCAUGUUCAGUGUCGGAUUUGGUGUGGCCGGUCGUUGUGUGGUUGUGGCGGAACGGCGUGGGGUGGGGUGCUGCAGACGGCGGCUGGCAACNNNNNNNNNNNNNNNNNNNNNNNNNNNNNNNNNNNNNNNNNNNNNNNNNNNNNNNNNNNNNNNNNNNNNNNNNNNNNNNNNNNNNNNNNNNNNNNNNNNNUAUAUAUAUAUAUAUAUAUAUAUAAGGUUAACUUAUCUUAUUAUGCAUAAUUAUUCAUUGCUUACGAGGCAGCACGUUAAUUCAGAUAUGCAUAAUUAUUUCUAUUUAAAUUAUAUGAAAACUAAUUCCCGAACACCAAACGAGGCAGCACGUUAAUCUCCCGAACACCUAAACCCUAAAACCCUAAAACCCAAAAAUAAUUUCAUUCAAAAAAAAAACCCAAAAAUAAGCAAAAUCUGAAACUCUUUAGUCCCGGUCCGUGUAACGAACCGGGACUAAAGGGCCCACCCCUGGGGCGCUACGUGUAACAGGGCCGGGACUAAAAGUUAGGCCUUUAGUCCCGCCCCUUUAGUCCCGGUUGUUGAACCGGGACUAAAGCCCCUUACGGACCGGGGCUAAAGGUUCCGUCCCCAUUAGUGACAUUCAUCAGAAAAUGUUAAAAUUAUACGAAUCCGUGUCGCAUCCGGUGGAACAAGUGCGGCUAGCCGUACUUAUACAAUGGUCAUGUGCCAUGCUGGACACAUUCUUUUGCAGGCCCGUGUUGUAUGUCCAUUCAGAAGACAUCAUCUCGAUACGUGGAUCAUGCUUUAUAAUGCACCCGUUUUGCUUAUCACACACACACUCCGCAUGAUCGUUUUUGCUCUUCACUCCUUCGCUUUUCCGCGACAACCCGAAGACGCACGGUUCAUUUCGAAACGUAAAUAACAAAAGAAAAAAAAACUGCCACAUGAUAGCAAAUUCAAAACAGACAAUGUAAACAAGAGCACGAAAGUUUUCUUAACCAUCCCAAGCAAAAUAAAUUAUGACACUCCCUCUAUAAGUAAAUAUAAAGAAAUGGUAUCCCUUAUUGAUUUUUUGGAAUUCCAAUUUUUUGGCAUAGUCGGCUCUUUGACGCGUUAAAAAAAAAAAAAAAAAAAAAAAAAAAAAAANNNNNNNNNNNNNNNNNNNNNNNNNNNNNNNNNNNNNNNNNNNNNNNNNNNNNNNNNNNNNNNNNNNNNNNNNNNNNNNNNNNNNNNNNNNNNNNNNNNNNNNNNNNNNNNNNNUGGCUUUUCAACCACAAAUCGUUUGCAGGCCGGACCGAACUUUCUGUCCCUGACGCGACCCCGCAUCGGCUGGGCGGCCCAAACACGGCAACAAAAACGCCGCCGCCGCCUUCCUCUUCCCCACCACCGCUCCAUCCCGUCCUCCCCCUCUCCCCGCAGCGCAGAACCCCAGCCAGCGACACGCGUUCGGAAGGAAGCAAAAGAGGAGAACUUCCCUUCCACCCCCGUCCCCUCCGGCGACCGCCGUACCCUCGCCCGCCAUGGACGCAUACUACCCGCUGCCGGCGAUGGCGCCGGACCUGCCGGUCUGGUCCCACGCCGCGCCGGCCCCGGCCCCGGCGGUCCUGCUCCCGGAGCCCCAAACCCUACCCUCCUUCUUCAUGCACCCGCCCCCGCCGCCCCCGCUACCCGCGGGCCGCGGCCGCCUCCUCCCCUGGCCGAUCGCGCACCGGCCGCCUCCCGAAUUCUUCUUCGAGAUGGACUACCGCCGGACCCACUCCCUCAUCCAGGUAAGCCCCCCCGUCACCCGCCGAUUCCUCCGGUUUCUCUGCUGACUGCUGUCCCCGGUGGUCGCCUUAGAGUAAUCCCGUGCUUUGCUUUCUUUUCCUUCGGGGGCGAUGCAGUUCUUGACGGACGAGGGGGCCAUCCCGACGCCGGAGGAGGAGGAGACGAGGGAGCUGGUCAUCCGCGAGCUCAAGAAGGUAGUACUGGGGUGGGCAUGGGGACUCUCGCUUGGAAAAAUUGGGUGUUGCGCGCGUGUCCGCCCGGCUGGAGUUCCUGAUUUUUUGUGUUUUCGAUGCUUGCUCGCGCAGAUUGUGACGGAUUGGGCCAAGGGAGUGGCCUCCGAGGAGAGGGUUCCCCCGAGGCGGGUGACGGCUACGGUCCUCACCUAUGGUUCUUACACGCUAGGGGUAAGCAAGAACGCAAGAUACUCACCAAAAAUGAUGUGGUCAUGAUUUCUCUGAAUGCUUGCGUGGUUGGCAAUAUUGGUUGCAUUAUCCCCAGUUUCAAGAUUCUAUAGAAUUCCAUGUUUGUAGUAGUAAUUUGGUUGGAUUAUCCCCCAAUUUCAGAUUUCCUUGGAAUUUCAUGUUUGUAGUAAACUGGUUGGAUCAUAACCCAAUUUGAAGUUCUAUAGAAUUCCAUGUUUGUAUUAAAAAUUGAUUGGAUUAUCCCCCAAUUUGAACAUUCUAUAGAAUUCCAUGUUUGUAGUAAAAAUUGAUUGGAUUAUCCCCCAAUUUCAGAUUUCCUUGGAAUUUUAUGUUUGUAGUAAUGCCUAGGUUUAGUGAUUCACAACUUCUGGCCAACUAAGCCGGCAUAUAUUUCAAGGAAGGUAGAUUGCAAACCUAUUAGCAAAGACAAAACAGGAGCAGAAAAUGGUCUGUUGUUUACAGUGCCUGCCCCUAUGCCCAGACCAUUCUCUGAGCGUUAAUUGCAUGUGACAUUAUAAGUUGUAUGGCUUGUCACAUGUUUGUGCACCUUCUGUUUGUUCUAGUUACCGCUUAUGAUGCAAUAAAUCAAGUGCGUUGGCUGAUCAAGUAUUUUUGUUUUUUCAAGGCUCACGGACCUGAAUCUGACAUCGAUGCACUAUGUGUUGGUCCCUGUAUCGCAAACUUGCCGGUAAGUAUUGUGGUUUGUGUUGCACCUUUCUCCACCUUUGCUUCAGGAUGCUAACGCAUGCCAUGUCAAUCUUGCAGCACCACUUUUUUGUUGUUCUGCGACAAAUUCUCAAGUGCAGGCCGGAAGUAUCAGGACUGCAGACUGUAGAAAAUGCCAAGGUUCCAUUGAUGCGAUUUAGAUUCAGCGGGAUUUCUGUUGAUCUGACAUACGCCCAGCUCCCAGUCCUUGAUGCAGUUCAGGCAAGUUUGUGCACUGACGCCCCUUCUAGAAAACUAUACCUGUAUUUAUGAAUCCUGUCUGAUCAUGCAAAAUUAUCUUAACUCAUGGAGUGGACCUGUUAGUGAGCAGCUUACCAAUAGGACGAUAUUGUUCUAGAUAGUUGAAGUGUCUCUGAUCUGCGGAGCUAAGGGUAUAACUCUGUAGUAUAAUCUAUUUAACUGCGGCACCUCAAAAUCAUCAAACAUGGCCCUGACCCUCGAAUACCUUUUUCCGGUGUCAAACAUGACUGAUUCAGAACCAAAUGAAGUUCUAGAAGUGCACAAAUACGAUCCUGACUUUCCUUGCACUCUCCAUACUAAGGACAUAUGAUAGAGCAUUCUCUUUGAUGGCCUUUGCCGUACUGUGCAAAAAGACUCGGUUAGUGACUUGGGGUUAGCAGCUAACAACUACUGUACCAGAUAUAUGACACCACAUUCAGAAGAUUAUUGGAUAACCCAUGUUGCUCAUUCUGAGCAUCAAACUUUUCUAUCUGUGUGACAAGAUCUCACUUCUUUUCCUUGACAUACAUUUAACCCCAGCCUUGCAAAAAACUAUGGGACAUCUAAUGUCAUUUGACCAUUAGUCAGGAGAAGUCCACUGUAUGUCAUCGCCUCACCCAUUUCGUAUCAGCUGUUUCUCGAAACUAGCCUGAAAAAACAUUGAUGCUCGCAAAAGAAAUGCAUUACUUGGUUCAUUUGCUCACAGCAAUAUGUGCUUGAUCAAACCAAUUCUCGUCAGGCUUCUCAUAGUAAAAGGUGUGAUCUGGCUCCAAGCCAUGCUAACUAGCAACCUGUCAAAAUUAACCAUGGCUGGCAAAUUUGCUUGUUGGUCCAUGUGUAACUAGCCCUUCCCCUUUAUUUUUUAUUUUUUUUAUUGUGGAUACUUUCCCCUUUAAAUCUUAUGGAUUUAUUGGAGAGUUGGAUCAGAUAGUGACCAAUAUUAUUGUUAUGUUCUGUCACAUGCCUACUGAAUGAGGUUUGCUAAUCCCUAGGAAUAGUGGCACAAUAUAUAAUUCUGUUUUUCUGCUUGCUGCUUGCCAAGCAGUCAGUCGAGAAGUCGGGCUGAGCAGGCCUAAAAGCCACACCACAUAUUCCCAUAUGAACACACUGACUUUUUGUUUGAUCAACACAUUUGCAAAGAAUUUACCUUGAUCAAAAGAACUCACAUCUAAAACAUCUUAUUUUGCUUGUAGUAAUGUUUCUGCAGUUUUUAUGAGUUCAGCACCCUAAAUGGUACUUACAAGAUAAAUCCAUAUAUGGGGAGUAUGAUCCCUCCAAAAUUAUAUUUAUCAUGACUGUCACAUACACACGGUACUAUGUAAAAAUGUAAGGUCUAUAUUCUGACGGGUUUACUUGCUCAUGCAGGCUAUAAAUACAUCUAGUCCUCAGUAUCUUCGGAGACUUGAUUCACGGAGUUGGAAGAGUUUAUCUGGAGUUCGUGUUAAUGAGCAGAUUGUGCAGCUAGUGCCGAAUCAAGAGGUUACAGACUAUUCUAAUUUAAUUCACCAGCACUCGGUCACAUUUUUGUCCCCUACAUAAUUGUACAUGAGCACCCAAGUAGUCAUGUUUGAAUAUACACUACUACUCAAUUCAUUUACAUGCUCUUGUAUUCAUCUAUGUCUGCACUUCCUACUUAACAUGCUCUUGUUUCCUUUGAUUUAUUUAUGUGCUUACUCUUAUCCCUGCUCUUGUUUCCAUGGAUUUACUGUGACUGUGGUAUUGCUCAUUAUUAUUUUUACACAAGAGUACUUCAAAUUGUUGUUAUUUUUUCACUUCAAAUUCUGUUUGUUAACAAUUCAUGCAGAAGUUCCAAAUUCUGUUGCGAUGCAUAAAACUAUGGGCUAGGAGGCGGGGACUUCAUUGCCAUGUAUGUGGUUUAAUGUGUGCUGCUGAUUGCUGUUCAGCUAUAUUCUGGUCUGACCGUGUCAUGUUGAAUUGUCUUAUGCCAUUUUGCAGUUGCUUGGUUCCUUUGCUGGGAUUCAUUUGGCGAUUCUUGCAGCCUAUGUUUGUCAGAGAUUUCCAAAUGCCACUGCCAAUGGUUUGUUCACCAUGUUCUUUGGCAUAUUUGCUCACUGGCCUUGGCAUAUUCCAGUAGAUCUGCAUGGUCAGCCAACUAACUGCAGGCAUUCAGAUGGGUGUUUAAUGCCCAUAGUGAUGCCUUGUACUCCGCCGGAACUCUGUGCGUCUAAUAUGACGGAAGGUACCUUCAGGAAGAUCAGAGAGGAGCUUAUGCGUGGUUAUGUUUUGACCAAGGUCAGUAAGUUUGGUAGUUUCACUUAUAGUUAUUCGUCCUGCUUUUCGAAGUCUGGUGGAGUUUGUGAAAUGCACAGAUUUUUUUAUUCUGAGGAAGUUUUGCCUAAAACUCUAUAUAUGAUAAUAUUUAGUCAUUUAUUUCAACGAUAUAGCUUUUUUUAGUAUAAUGAUGGUGGAUUGGUGAUUUGUCAACUUGCUUAUGCUUACAUAAACCUACACAUUCUGCCAUUCCUCUGCCACAAAUUCAGAUCUUCCUUGCAUGCAUGUAUUCAGCACUCUUUCCUGUUCUGAAUUUCUUUCCCAGGGACAAAUAAUCCACUGUUUCAUACCACUAUGGUUUCUGCAUCUCAACCAUUCAGAAUGCUCUAGCUUGACACAUGGACACCUAUCUCGUGUUCCUUGUUCAAUUCAAGUACUUGACUAUAUUUGCUUACUGCAUUUUGCUGUACGCCUAGCUCAUUGAUACUCGUCUCGAGUUUUAGUUCUCAAUAUCAUUUCACUGAGUAUGCAUUUUCCCCUUGUCUGUCCUCUUAACAGAACCGUACAUAAUGCAACUUAUCUUGGAAUAAUUUUGCGCUUCAGUUUUCCCUAGUACUAGACCGGUGCGCAUAUGUUUGCUUGAACACUUCGAAUUUAUUUUUGCAUCAACUCUUAACAGUUCUUUAUUGUUUGUCACAGGACCUAGGGAGCCAUGAUUUUGAGUGGGCAUGGAUUUUUGAACCCUUCCCAUAUUCAACAACAUAUGGACAAUUUCUUCGCAUUGCUCUAUGUGCUCCAACUUCUGAAGAACUGCAUGAUUGGAUUGGAUGGGUUAAAUCUCGCUUCCCUUACCUUAUUCUCAAGGUUUGUUUGCUGCAGUCGUCUUGUUUUUCCUUCAUACUCACGCAGCUCAACUAUUCAUUUAGUGCAAGGAUGUGAAAGUGUAAAUCUAAAUGGUUGUAACUUGUGCUCUGCAGCUGGAAAAUAUUGGCAUUGAGUGUGACCCCAAUUCAUCACAGGAAGUUGAUCAUACAGUCAUCAAACCCAACACUGUAUAUCACUGGGGCCUCAUCCCUCUGUCUGAUGUUUACCUUGAUCCUAGCUCUCUGAAGGAAGAUUUCAUGAAAUAUGUCAUCAAUGAUGUGUAUGGGAAGGUGAAAUGUACAGACUCAGAGCUGACAAUAUCCAUCGUCGACGCAUCAGAGCUUCCAAAAAGCAUGUCCAAUGACUCAUUUUACUCCCAGCAGCACCUGCACGAGUAUGGGGUGGGCUACCAAGCAGCAGCUGACUGUUGGAGUGCAUUUGGCUAGGAUAUUGCUGGAUCAUCUGGCACUUCUUUUGCAUCUCAUAUGCUGAUCAUCGGGCCGACACGGAAUCAUGUCUGUGGGUUUCUUGUCAUCUCCUUAUUGCCCCUAGCAAAGGGAAUCUGAAGACCAGUGUUCCAGAUGCACUAAGAUCAUGAAACUGACUUGGUUCUGCUCUGAUGGUUAUUCAAGCCCAUGUGUAAUACUGGUCAGUAUAUUGGCAUAGCGUCUGACAAAAAAAAGGAAAAAAAGUAUAUCGGUGUUGUGGCUUAUAGCAGGUAGAAUGUAAAAUGUAGGUUAUUGUUUCAAAAAAAAAAAUGUAGGUUACUGGAAACCCAUUGAAGAUGGGGAGGGAAAAAAAGAAGAAAAAAGGUAAAAUGUCUACAUGAAGGGGGUCCAAGUGCGGGUUUGUGCUGUGAAUUCUGAUGCCUGCUGGGUGCAAAUCACCCAUGGUGCCUGCAACUGCAAUGUAUAGUUGAUCUCACUAGUGUGCUGCUACAUUUUGUAAGCAGAAGAGCGCUUGCCACUGAACAAUUCUUGUGUGUAACUAAUAACUACCCUACUCGUAAGUGCCUGAUCUGAUGGGGUGGUACUGAGUAAUAAGCUGCAAGUGAAAAAAAAUUGUUGAAACUUGUAUGUGGUCUUGUUUCGCAGAGGUGGAUGAUGCUUGUUAGUAAUGUUUUUGUACGUAUUUGGUAUUGAUAAUGAUGAUGGUGAUGGUGAUGCAUGCAGUUUAGCAUGAUUGUAUUUUGUUGUUGCGUACAUGGUCCAGGGCCGGCGUUCAGGUGAGGAGAUGCAUUUGGUCCAAAGCCAUCAUGGCCUUGGCUCUGGCUCAUAGGUGUAUGUAUGCCGUCAUGGUAUACGCGUCACGCCUGAUGACCCAGCCUAGCUAUGCUCUUGGGAUCAUACUAGUCUUUGAGAUCCGAAGUUUGCGCAUCAUAGGCAUAUUAGACAGACCCCACCCUGCAAACCACGGAAAAUACGGUCGCACAACGAACUAUGUACUCUGAAUUUACUGAAUCAUGUACUACUAAAAUAUGUCUAUAUACGGAUACUACUAAAAUAUGUCUAUAUACAUCCGUAUGUAGUUCAUUAAUGAAACCUCUACUAGCAAAAGGGCUCAUGCGUUGCAACGGGAGAAAAAAAUACCACACGGCACACGCUCUUAAUUUAUAAAAAAUGUCUAUAAUUUGAGAAUUUAUAGUUACGAUACAAAUAAAGAUGGUCUUAUCCUACAAAAAUGCAGUUUAAAAUUUCACAGGUCUUCUAUUUUAACACGGCUUGCAUGUAGAUUUAAUACGUACAAAGAAUCAGUCAAGUGACCUUCAGUUUCAUCUCUAAUCCUGAUUUUGUUGACGUGUUCAUCCCCAACCCGGAUGAGUACCGAUAUGAAAGAAAGACGAAUAAUGACUUAUUUAUUAAGAUUGCAUCCUAGAUAGUAUUUUUAUUAAACGUUUAACAGAUAAAAUGAUAUCAUAUUUAAAUUCUACAUAUUUUUCUAAUCAAAUUCCAUGUAUAAUAUGUUAAAUUUGGAGUUACGGUUGAAAAGAUAUGAGUAUUUUAAAAAAUAUUUAAUAUAUACUACGAGUUUAAUGUCAUAAACAGUAAGGGCUUUUUUGUAGAAUCACCUCGGUGGGUUUUCCGACGAAAGCGAUAGCCUCUUUAUUAUUACUAGCAAAAGGGUCCGUGCGUUGCAACGGGAGAAAAAAUACCACACGCUUUUAAUCUUUUUAUAAUCAUUUUGAUUUAUUAAAAUAAUAAGCUAACUAACUAAUGUAGUCAGUCCUAUCCUAUUUUGUUGAGAAAUCAACCCAUCCAUUGUUAAUUCCACCAUGAUGAGAAAUUGAGCGGGACAAGCAAAUCAAAACAAAGAGGCUACGUGAAUUGAUCAAUGGACUGUUAUCUUAUUUCACUCAUGGGGUAGAGAAUGUGGGAUGAGAUGACAAACCGAAGGUGGUGUGCCAUUCUUUGUCUCUACAACAAUACAAUCUUACAUUCAAUACAUUCAUUCAUCAGCAAACAAAUCCUCACAAACAAAAAUUCUUGCCGAUGUUUGGCACAGGUUGGAGGCAUGGGGAGGGGAUCUCAUCAGAUGAUGAGUUCCUGCCGGAGAAGGGGAUACGAUGAGGGGGGCAAGGGUUAGGCGCCUCUAUUUGUCCAUAAGGAGUCGCCGUUGCCGCGCCAUAACCUCGGAGUUCAACGUGUGAGCCAUGGAGGCCCGCCUUCACCUGCAAGUACUUCGCUGUGUCGCGCCGCCGCCGUUGUGCAUCGAGAAGACGCAUCAUCCCCAGUCACUGUAGCUGUCGCGUUGAUUUGAUCCAGAAGCUGUGCUCGAACGCCGAAACGGGGGCACCAAGCGGGCAGAGAUACGACCGCGGAGGCGGGUGAGUUGAGAUCGGCAGCGGUGGCGGUUGAGGUCGGUCGCGGCGGCGAGUGGUGUGGCGGCGGCCUGGACACAGGCAGGGUGGCCCAGGGUCGACGGGAGGAGGCGAUGCGUACGGAUAUAAUUUUUGCAGCAAAUCAUUUUUUUCUUUUGCGUUGCAGAUAAAUAAUGAAGCGCGGGUUGAAUAACAAAAAUUACAGGGUUUUUUUUAUAAAAAUACCGCGGUGGGUUUUUCAACGGAAGCAAUAGCCGCUUCAUUAUUAUAUAUAUAUAUUAGGUAAAGAUAAAGAAUUAUAUUUAGGAACGGAGGAAAAGUACCAAGUUUGUACAUACGUAUGUUAUUAAUUUCAGUUACCAAGUCUGUAGAUAUGUUUGCCAUGGAAAAGGGAACAGCGAGAGCGAUACGGCAGAGGCGAAAGCAAAAAACUCAUCCACGUCGUAGUACUACUACUAGUCUACUAUACAUAGUCGUUGUCACAUGGUGAUGGUGGCACAGGGCCGGGCGGCCGCGCUCCGGACCACGGCGGGGUCGCGGUCACCACCGACAGCGGAGCCGAAUCAUCGGCAGCUUUUGGCGUGGCGAGUAACAUGCACGGCCAGCCACUAGCCAUUCCAUCGGUGACCCGAAGCCAUCUCACUCAGGUGCGCACAUGCGCUGAGCAGCCCAUCUCACUCACUCGCUCACGCACGCACGUCCGGCCCCGACGCGCGCCCUCGCCCGCGCCACACGAACCAGCCACGGCAGCUAGCACGCCACAUCGCUGCACAGGGGAAGCCGGCCGACGAACAGGGGCACGCGCGCGCACGCUCCCUCGGAUCGGCAUGCCAGGGCGCGGCGUGGCCGUGCCCACGACGCGUACGUGGGCGCGUGACCCGACGGCGACCCGGNNNNNNNNNNNNNNNNNNNNNNNNNNNNNNNNNNNNNNNNNNNNNNNNNNNNNNNNNNNNNNNNNNNNNNNNNNNNNNNNNNNNNNNNNNNNNNNNNNNNUUGCACGCUCCAUUGUUCCGGAGAACGGAGUUUUAUUCAUCUUGCCCAUGAGGCAUGGUUCGCACGUGUCAAGUGAAUCAAAGUCAAGUGACUCCAAAAGUCCAUCGACAUGGAGUUUCUUCAUGCGCUUUACACCAAUAUGACCUAAGCGGCAGUGCCACAAAAAUAUGGCGCUAUCAUUGUUAACUCUAACUCUUUUGGUCUCAAUGUUAUGUAUGUGUGUAUCGCUAUCAAGACUCAAUAUGAACAAUCCUCUCACAUUGGGUGCAUGACCAUAAAAGAUGUUACUCAUAGAAAUAGAACAACCAUUAUUCUCUGACUUAAAAGAGUAACCGUCUCGCAAUAAACAAGAUCCAGAUAUAAUGUUCAUGCUCAACGCAGGCACUAAAUAACAAUGAUUCAAGUUCAUAACUAAUCCUGAUGGAAACUGAAGUGAAACUGUGCCGACGGCGAUUGCAUCAACCUUGGAACCAUUUCCUACGUGCAUCGUCACUUCAUCUUUCGCCAGCCUUCGUCUAUUCCGCAGUUCCUGUUUCGAGUUGCAAAUAUGAGCAACAGAACCGGUAUCGAAUACCCAGGCACUACUACGAGAGCCGGUUAAGUACACAUCAAUAACANNNNNNNNNNGUAACAAUGAUUUAAGUUCAUCACUAAUCCCGAUGGUAGCUGAAGUGACACUGUGCCGACGGCGAUUGCAUCAACCUUGGAACCAUUUUCUACGUGCAUCGUCACUUCGUCUUUCGCCAACCUUCGUCUAUUCCGCAGUUCCUGCUUCGAGUUGCAAAUGUGAGCAACAGAACCGGUAUCAAAUACCCAGGCACUACUACGAGAGCCGGUUAAGUACACAUCAAUAACAUGUAUAUCAAAUAUACCUGAUUUUUCUUUGCCCGCCUUCUUAUUUGCCAGAUACUUGGGGCAAUUGCGCUUCCAGUGACCCAUACCCUUGCAAUAGAAGCACUCUGUUUCAGGCUUAGGUCCAGCCUUGGGUUUCUUCGGCGGAUUGGCAACAGGCUUGCCGCUCUUCUUCGAAACUAGUGGUCUUGCUCACCAUCAACACUUGAUGCUCUUUACGGAGUUCAGACUCUGCGACUUUCAGCAUCGCAAACAACUCGCCGGGAGACUUGUUCAUCCCUUGCAUGUUGUAGUUCAACACAAAGCCUUUAUAGCUUGGCGGCAGUGAUUGAAGGAUUCUGUCAGUGAUAGCCUCUUGCGGGAGUUCAAUCCCCAGCUCAGCUAGACGGUUUGAGUACUCAGACAUUUUGAGCACAUGUUCACUGNNNNNNNNNNNNNNNNNNNNNNNNNNNNNNNNNNNNNNNNNNNNNNNNNNNNNNNNNNNNNNNNNNNNNNNNNNNNNNNNNNNNNNNNNNNNNNNNNNNNCCACGGCGGAGGCGCAGGGUUCGGCGGUGGAGCUGGCGCCGGUGGCGGCGGGGGAUUCGGCGGUGGUGGGGGCGCGGGCGGCGGCGGCGGCAUCGGUGACGGGCAGUGAGGCCGGCCCGGAGAACGCGCGCAUGCACGUCGCGGGCGCUUCGGUGGGUCCAUGCAUGCAGGGAGACGUGCGUGACGCGCGCGCCAUGGGGAGCAAAGCAAUCAAUCUUGGUAGCCUACGUAUAUGCGAAUAAAUUUGUUGGGUGGUGAGCGAUGAGUACGUGACGUGACAAUGACAUUCCUUUUCCUUGUGUAUCCAUGAUAGUGUUAUUACCAUGACGCAUGUAUUAUUUUGGAAGCCAAACUAUGUUUCCAUCUGUAUCAAAGAUAUACUUAUAUAUUACUAUACAAACAGAUUUAUAUAUUGCGCACAGAAUGAUGACUUGGUUCCGUUACCGUACAAGUUUUCUUUUGUGAGUGCACGUGAAACGCACAUAUAAUCAUAAGUUUAAUAUUUUGAUUAUCCAAAUUGAUUUGUCUAUCACAAUGGUUGCCACAAUAACAUCUCAAGUUUUUAUAACAUUUGGUCUAAACUAAAAUUUAUAACAAUUUAAAAGGAAUUUUUGUUUAGCAAACGCCCUUCUUUGUGGCUAGAUGUUUUCACGUCGGCAUCUCAUUGCCUCGGAAGUGUCCCUCCCAUCAUGGAUCGUUUCUUAUGUGGCACUCCUCUUUAUGCCCCUUGCAUCGCCUUUGAUUUUUGGACAUGUUGGAAUCUUUCUUCAGUGCCACGCGGAGCUCUACCUCCCGCAUCGCACCAACGACAAAUUGGGUGUCACCAACAGAUUUGCUCCACCUCAAUAAAGCACAUGGAGAGGCAAGCUUGAAUCUCCGAUUUGAACACCACCUUGCUAACCGAGCUAGGUUUGGUCAUGUGCAAGAAGGCCAUACCAAAUCUGUUCUUCUUUAUCAACAAUGGUUAAAUGUUUAGACAACAUCGUCUUAAUCAACACGACAAAACAUUGCAUAAAACAUUGCACAAAAGGAAAGGAACAUCACCUUUGAGGUAAAAAUUUCAUCCCAAUAUGUGUAGCUCAAAUCAUCAUGUUUCCUAGUUUUACAAAGUUCUCCUACGAGAAGGAUUACUUGUGAUGCCUGCUUUACAGAAAAGUAAAUAUUAGAAAACAUAAAGUGAAAGAGGAGAUGAACUAUACUACCAGAUCUUAUGAGCUCAAAUAAUGACAUGGUACAUUUUGCAGAAAUAGUUCAUGACAAAAAUAAAUACGCUAACCUGAGUACAUAGGUUGUGACAAGUAUAAUUUCAUUGAUAAAAACAUACUUCCUCCGUUCCAUAAUAUAAAAGCGUUUUUCAAGCUAUGUUAGCUUGAAAAACGAUCUUUAUAUUGUGGGACUGAAGGAAAACAUAUAAAGGCUUAAAAAAAUCAAUCGAGUUAAAACUUGAAAGAAGUCACAGAUCAGCAUUGUCUUGUUGCAUAGAGGUAUUAUCCUAACACAUUUGUGAUAAGCAUAAAUAAACACUGUUAAUUUGAUGAGUCCCUCAACCUCCCCUUUUCACUGCCCUUACAACCAAAAACAGUAACUUGACGUAAAAUUGCUCUAUUGAGUUUCACCCAAAGGACAAUGUUCACAAAUGACAAGCACUCACGACAAGAAUCUGAAACUUUGCCGGUGAAAGCACAAACUGGAAAACGCGACGCAUCAACUGAAUCUGCGGCCCAAGCAACUCUGCAUGCAAUGCAACAAGAUGUAUCUUUCUGAAUUUGAGAAGUCCCUGUCGGCUUAUUGUGUACCAACUUGGCAUGAAUCGCUAAGCAAAAGCAUAAGACAGAAGAUAGCGUGAUUCGGCGUCCAAACUGCGGAGCAGAAACCCUAAAAAUAUGGUAUCCCCUGAUCUCUCCAAACAAACAAUCCCUAAUGCCCAAAGAUAAUCACAGGGAGCCGAGGAAAACACCAUGAGCAGACCCCUAAUUUACCUGCCAUCACAUGAAUUAGGGGUCAGUCGCCAGCCGCCCACCCAACCAGCAGCGCGCGCCGCCGUCUGCUUCGACUUUUUUUUUGAGCAAUCGCCGUCUGCUUCCACUAAAAUGAAGUGAACUAACGCCGGGAACAGAGAGGGAGGGGGGGCUUACUCUUGAUGUCGCGGAUAUCGCCGUGGUGGGUGGCCUUGAUGAACCUUGCCUCCGGAGGCCACCGAUCGCGGUCUGCAAAAACAAAUCCCAAAACCAAACAACAAGCUCCAAGAAAAGUUAAGUUUUUAUUCAGAUAUCACACUUAUAACCACUCUGAGGUGCCAUUUUGGUAUUCAGUUUUUCCUCAUGAGGGAGCUGGAAAAUCUUGCUUGUGACCUCGUGUGCGGCGUGUGCGUGUGUGUGCUUGGCACUGUUGUUUGGAUGUUGUGGCUCGGUGGUUUGCUUUAUUUAUAAAACGGGGUGAAAGCCUUUUUUUGUAAAAACUUGCUUGUGACGUCCCUGACUUCCGUCAUUAGUGACUCCGCUAUCCCAUGACUUUUCUGUUAAUAAUACAGAAACAUCAUUUUGCCAUGGUUAAUUAGCUGAUUAGCUCAUUGUUAAUUAGCACUCAACCGAUGAGUUGAACUGCAUUCAGAACCAAUUUUUGUUCAUAAAACAGAAGGGGAAAGACCAACUCCACGGAACAAUUGGAACAUGACACACACAUGACAUUAUAUACAUGAAGCCUUUUUCCAGUAUAUACAGUCUGCUUAGAGGUUCAAAUUAAUAAGUUGAAUGAGCAACUACCACAUAGAAGAAUCCGGCCUCCCUGCAAGCGUCAUCCAGCAUCGGACGACUCGAGCAAACCCUCGUCGUUGGCCAUGGCAGUGUCAUUGAUCUUCUCGAUGAUCGGGCUGAUAUCUGAGCAUGCAAAGAGGAAAAGAGAACUCAAUUUUCAGAUAAAACAAACAGUGCAUUAACUGUAUCACCCGCUUGGAGCGAGAAAUGGCCGUAACACGAUUGGUACUGAAAAUAGAAAUCUCCAUGGAUAAACAUGUAUCGAUCAGCUGCAUGUCUUCAAGGGGAACUGCUUCCGGCACACUCCAACAUCCCGUCCGCUUAGUUCAGCGAGGAUGGAGAAUCUCUGAAUAAUAACGCGUGAAUUCAGGGAAGGCUGCAGCAACGUAUGUUCUGAAUAAUGCAUGAACGCACUGCAGAAUUUGUCUUUCGGAAAGGACAGGGAAUUGAGCCCUCGGUAGUACUUACAUAGGAAUUUGUCUUUCGGAAAGGACGGGCGACGUCCGGUGGCGGACUGCGACGGCGAACGAUGGUGGCGGCGUGGUAGGGAGGUGGAGGGGUUGGCGGCGGGGCUGCGUCGGGCCCGGGGCGCGUGCGGCGCGGGGCGAGCGGNNNNNNNNNNNNNNNNNNNNNNNNNNNNNNNNNNNNNNNNNNNNNNNNNNNNNNNNNNNNNNNNNNNNNNNNNNNNNNNNNNNNNNNNNNNNNNNNNNNNCUAUUGUAUAUGCUUAAGUGUUAAUAGUUUAUUUUUAGCAAGAAAAUUAAUAGAACUAGUUUAAUUUUGCUAUUGUAUAUGCUUAAGUGUCCGGGACUGGGCUCCGCCCGGCUGGUAUUUUAGAGUUUAGGUUCUAGCCAAGACCCGGGACUAAAGGUCCUCCUAUAUAAAACGACACUUCGAAGUUUACAACCCCUCUUAUAUAGUUUGUUAGUUUAUUAGUUAAUCAAAUGUCCGUUUUUUGCAGAACUAUGGAUCCACAUAUUAGGAACCUUGAAGAGGAAGAACUUCUCGAAGAUAUAAUCAAAGACGGCCCCGACGUUGAACCAGCUGUAUCUCCGUCGUCAUAUCUAAACGCCUCCAGAUAUGGAAUGGAGGUCGAGCGACACGAAGAUGAAGCCGAUGGGGCAGGAGAUAGGUCCAAUGACGGAGAAGGUGAUAGCUCCACUGAUGGAGAAGCCGGUGGAGAAGCCGUUGAAGAAAUAAUAAAGUCCGGCGAGGUAUACAUAUGAAGUUCGACAAUCACUUGUAAUAUGUGAAAAAUAUUGGAGAUAGCUCUAUAUUGUAUACAUAUACAUUCAUUUGACGAAUGUUUCUCCCUCUUAGGCCUCCACAUCGAGCAAAGCUACGAAACGAGGCCCCACUAGAAAGUUGGAUGCACGGACGCAUUACACCUUUGAGGUGAUAUUGCCUACGGGCGAACCCAAGCUUCCUAAGAAUGCUGCUGACACAUUCAAGAAGCAAUGCGGAGUUCUCGUUAGGGAUCACGUCUCGAUCAGCGUUCGGGAGUGGAACAAGCGCAAAGGGGCAGCCGAUAGUAAAUAUGUCGCCGAAAGGUACAAAGAUAAUCUUUGGAAUGAUCUCAUGUCACAUUUCAACCUGCCAGAAUGUGAGAAUGAAGACGCCGCAGACAAACUGAGGGCCAAAGUCAAGCAGUGGACUCUAAAGAAGAUGGUCGAACUGUUCCGUAGCUGGAAGAAGAAGCUAUGGAAAAACUAUCUGAAGACAAAGAAAGUGCUAGUAUUCGAGGGGUAUCUAGCCAAGCAGGCGAAUCACUGGAAGGCAUUUCAAGAGUACAAGGAGUUAGAAGAUGCCUAGGCAUUAUCAGAAAAGAACAAGAUAAAUGCCGACAAGAAGAAAUAUCACCACAAGCUGGGGCCAGGAGGCUAUGAGACUGCCAUCCCAAAGUGGGAUAAGAAAGAGCAAGAUCUGCUAGAUAAAGGCAUCGUACCUGAACCACUCCGUGAUGAGUGGGAAUUGAGAGCAAGAAAUUGGUUCCUUGCGCAUGGUGGGUCGUACGACGAAAAAACAGGGGACCUCAUCUGCAGUGACGGUCUUAGGAUACCCAGGGAGAAUUGGAAAAGGAUAGUGAAAGAAAUUAAGGAGGGAAAAAGAAAGUUCACUACAGAUAGAGAGAAAGAUUUGCUCACACUGGUCCUCGGCAAUGACGAACAUGGAGGAAGAACGCGAGGCUUCGGUCCUUCUUACCCGUGGUGGCUUGGGUUUGCCAGAGACCAAGACACUUACAGAAGCCGAGAGAGAGCAAAGAAGCGGCAGCAGGAUGAGGAGAAUGACAAGUUCAACCAGUUGCUUGCCAGGAUUAAUGAGCAACAGAAGCAGAUUGAUGAGCUUAGAGGAGUAGCGCGCCAGGAAGAUCCUGCACUUGAUAUUACCGGCGCCCCAUCUAAGCUGAAAAGCAACGUGGCUGAAUCUGAGGCCCCGCCCGACGAUGCAUGAAGAAUGAUAGAGGGCGGUCCCGGCUACCCCGUGGAUGGAAUCAAGGAGUCAACAUCAUGUGAACUCCAUCAUAAAUUCAAGAACAUAUCCAUGAAGGUGGCCGUCGGACAAGCUUUACCUUCUGGCCCUGAUGCACACUAGCAUGGCCGUGAGAUUCCAGCUGGCUUUGCUAAAGUCGGGGUGGAUGAAAUCCUGACGGGGUUUCAUGAUAUGGAGCUCGACAUAGCUGGACCCGAAGAUGAGAGGACACUCGGAGAAGUACUGGAUGGAGUCAUCCUAUGGGACAAGAACUACAUCAAGCUUCCAGGCUCGGUCCCAAGGACAACACCGCCUCCGAGUCAUCGCAGGUCACCUACACCUCCAUUACCUCCAAGCCCUCCACAUGACAUCAGCCAGCACAACACGAGUCCAUCUCGAUCACCGCCGCCGGACUUGGGUCGUCCGUCUCCGCCGCCGCCCGCUCCGGAUACUAAGCGGGAGCAUGCCACCAAGAACGCUCCGCCGACGAUUCCUAAGCCACGGAGCCCCCCAAAGCGCAAACGGUCGCCCCUCCCAAAGGUACGUCAUGCUAAUCUUCCUAUCAGACCUUAUGAUCGUACCCACGAGGAAAACGCCAGGAUAGCAAAGGAACAUCAUGAUGCGCAGAUGAAAAAGAAGGAACCCGAGCCCCGCCCGAAAUACACCGAGAAGCAAAUAGCAUUUGCAAAAUACUUCACGAUCCUUCCAUCACAGUAUGACUUACACCAUAAGCCUGAUGACUAUACACGCACAUUGCAGAAGGAAGUGAAAAAGAGCAGAUCACCUCCAAGCCCUCCACAUGACGUCGGUCAGCACAACACGAGUCCAUCUCGAUCACCGCCGCCGGACUUGGGUCGUCAGUCUCCGUCGCCGCCCGCUCCGGAUACUAAGCGGGAGCGUGCCACCAAGAACCCUCCGCCGACGAUUCUUAAGCCACGGAGCCCCCCAAAGCGCAAACGGUCGCCCCUCCCAAAGGUACGUCAUGCUAAUCUUCCUAUCAGACCUUAUGAUCGUACCCACGAGGAAAACGCCAGGAUAGCAAAGGAACAUCAUAAUGCGCAGAUGAAAAAGAAGGAACCCGAGCCCCGCCCGGAAUACACCGAGAAGCAAAUAUCAUUUGCAAAAUACUUCACGACCCUUCCAUCACAGUAUGACUUACACCAUAAGCCUGAUGACUAUACACGCACAUUGCAGAAGGAAGUGAAAAAGAGCAGAUCACGUGCAAGUGCAAGUGGGAGCAAAUCAAGUUCAACUACAAGCAAGAAAAAAUCAGACGUUCCUCGUCUUGGACAACAGGCCAAACAGUCGAUCCCACCCCUCAAGGUGUUAACCGAGAAUGUUCCCCCUCCGGUGCAGGGGCUAGCUUUUGAAAUAGCAAAUGAGUUGGCGGUUGAAUGUGGUGUCUCGGUUGAAGAUUUGCUGGCUUCCCAAGACGACAGGAUACCCAAGGCUGUGGUAGCCCCUAAGCCACAGUUUAUCAUGGGUGAGCCUUUGGUCAGCAAAGAUGAUCUUCCAACAAAUAUGCGUUACUUGCAUCAAUGGUACUUAAGUGAAUCAAAGAAUGGGAGAACGAUGAUCGUGCUGAGUGUCCCACGGGAGUACUACGGCCGCCCCGAACAAAUCCAUAUCGACUUUGAUGAACUCUUUCAGAUGUACAAUGGCGACGCCCUCGACAAAUCGCUUAUGAGUUGCUAUUGUCUGUAAGUUUUUCAAUUCGUUGUCUAUAUAUAACUUGUUUAGUUAUUUCAAUUCAUUGUCUAUAUAUAACUUGUACUCUAUUAUGCAGAAUGAAGAUUCUGGAUUGUAAAAGUAAGAACAUCCUAAAUAUUGGGUUUAUUGACCUAGAUAAAAUACAUAUAGCGACGCUAACUGAUUAUCCCAAGGAGACGNNNNNNNNNNNNNNNNNNNNNNNNNNNNNNNNNNNNNNNNNNNNNNNNNNNNNNNNNNNNNNNNNNNNNNNNNNNNNNNNNNNNNNNNNNNNNNNNNNNNAGUAUCCGCAUACCUAUUUCAAUCUCGUUUACUGGCAAGUCUCUUUACUCGUUCCGUAAUACAAGAUCCCGCAACUUACACUAAGUUACAUUGCUUGCAAGACUUGUGUGUGAUGUUGUAUUACUGAGUGGGCCCCGAGAUACCUCUCCGUCACACGGAGUGACAAAUCCCAGUCUUGAUCCAUACUAACUCAACUAACACCUUCGGAGAUACCUGUAGAGCAUCUUUAUAGUCACCCAGUCACGCAGUUUUGGAAUUUUUCUGAAUUUAUAGGCGGAAGAGGUAGGGCAGGCGAGCCACAGGGGGCCCACAAGCCUGCUAGGCGCGGGCCCCCCUGGCCGCGCCUAGGGGCUUGUGGGGUCCCCUGGUGGCCCCUGCCUUGAUUCUCAAGUCUCGUGCGUAUCUUCUGUUCCGGAAAAAAUCUUUUCGGAAGUUUUAUUCCGUUUGGACACCGUUUAAAAUCCUCCUCUGAAAAUGGUCAAAAACAUGGAAAAAACAGGAGCUGGCACUUGGCACUGAGUUAAUAAGUUAGUCCCAAAAAAGAUAUAAAAGGCAUACAAAACAUCCAAAGUUCGACAAGAUAAUAGCAUGGAACCAUAAAAAAUUAAAGAUACGUUGGAGACGUAUCAGCUAUUACUACUAAAGCUACAACCUAGCAAUAUAGUAAAGCAUCUGCAAGCACAAACAUUAGUUUAAAGACAACCCUAUGGCUCCUGCCGGUCGCCGUAGCAUCGACAUGCAAGUCGAUAUUUAACUAUUACAACAUGAUCAUCUCAUACAUCCAAUAUAUCACAUCAUGUCUUUGGCCAUAUCACAUCACAUGCAUACCUUGCAAAAACAAGUUAGACGUCCUCUAAUUUGUUGUUGCAUGUUUUACGUGGCUGCUAUGGGUAUCUGGUAUGAUCGUAUCUUACUUACGCAAAGCCACAACGGUGAUGUGCAAAUUGCUAUUUAACCUUCUCCAAGGACCGCCUCGGUCAAAUCUGAUUCAACUAAAGUUGAAGAAACAGACACCUGCCAGUCAUCUUUAUGCAACAAGUUGCAUGUUAGUCGAUGAAAUCGGUCUCUCAUAAGCGUACAAGUAAGGUUGGUCCGGGCCGCUUCAAUCCAACAAUACCGCCGAAUCAAGACAAAACUAAGGAGGGCAGCAAAUUGAACAUUAACGCCCACAAACUCUUUUGUGUUCUACUCAAGAUAUCAUCUAUGCAUGAACCUAGCUCAUGAAGCCACUUUUGGGGAACGUUGCAUGGGAAACAAAAAAUUUCCUACGCACAUGAAGAUCUAUCAUGCUGAUGAUCAUCUACAAGAAGGAGAUUGGAUCUACAUACCCUUGUAGAUCGCUAAGCGGGAACCAUUAAGAAACAUGGUUGAUGUAGUGGAACGUCUUUGCGAUCCAAAUCACCUUCGUCCCACGAUCCGUCCCGAUCUAGUACCGAACGGACGUCACCUCCGUGUUCAGCACACGUACAGCUCGAUGACGAUCUCCGCCUUCUUGAUCCAGCAAGAGAGACGGUGAAGUAGAUGAUUUCUCCGGCAGUGUGACGGCGCGACGGUGGUGGUGAUGAUCUUAUUCCGGCAGGGCUUCGCCUAAGCACCGCAGAAAUCCGAUCUAGAGGAAGAACUAUGAAGUAGAGGUUUAGGAUUGCACGUGGCAAAAUUGUGCCUCAAAAACCCUAAAACCUUUAGUAUAUAUAGGAGGAACCAAGGGGUGGAGCUUGCCUCCUACUCCAAGUAGGAGGGCUUCGGCCGAGGGAGGGAGGAAGGAAUCCUCCUCCACUUCGGUUUGGAAGGAGGAGUCCCUUCCUUCCUUCCCACCUCCUUUUUUUCUUUUCCCUUUGUUUUUCUCCUUGGCCGAAAUAGCCCUAUUCGUCUGGCCUCACCAGCCCACUAAGGGCUGGUGUGCCACCCAUGGGCCUAUUAGGUUCUCUCUCGGGUGGGUGGCCCCUUCCGGUAAAACCCCGGAACCCAUUCGGCACUCCCGGUACACUGUCGGCAAUGCCCGAAAUCUUUCAGGAAGCCAAAUGCAACAAUCCUAUAUAUCAAUCUUCGUCUCUGGACCAUUUCGGAAACCCUCGUGACGUCCGAGAUCUCAUCCAGGACUCCGAACAAAACUUCGGUCACCAACACCUAUAACUCAACUAUACUGAAACGUCGCCGAACAUUAAGUGUGCAGACCCUGCAGGUUCGAGAACUAUGUAGACAUGACCUGUGACACUCCCCGAUCAAUAUCCAAUAGCGGGACCUGGAUGUCCAUAUUGGAUCCUACAUAUUCUAGAAGAUCUUAUCGGUUGAACCUCUAUGUCAAGGAUUCAAACAAUCCCGUAUAUCACUCCCUUUGUCCUUCGGUAUGUUACUUGCCCGAGAUUCGAUCGUCGGUAUUUCCAUACCUAUUUCAAUCUCGUUACCGGCAAGUCUCUUUACUCGUUCUGUAAUACAAGAUCCCGUGACUAACUCUUUAGUCACAUUGCUUGCAAGGCUUGUAUGUGAUGUUGUAUUACCGAGUGGGCCCCGAGAUACCUCUCCGUCAUACGGAGUGACAAAUCCUAGUCUUGAUCCAUGCUAACUCAAUGGACACCUUCGGAGAUGCCUGUAGAGUACCUUUAUAGUCACCCAGUAAUGUUGCGACGUUUGAUACACACAAGGCAUUCCUCCGGUGUUAGUGAGUUACAUGAUCUCAUGGUCAUAGGAAUGAAUACUUGACAUGCAAAAAACAAUAGCAACAAAAUGACACGAUCACAUGCUACUUUUAUAGUUUGGGUCUUGUCCAUCACAUCAUUCUCCCAAUGAUGUGAUCCCGUCAUCAAGUGACAACACUUGUCUAUGAUUAGGAAACCUUAACCAUCCUUGAUCAAUGGGCUAGUCAACUAGAGGCUUACUAGGGACAAAGUUUUGUCUAGUAUAGGGAGGGGGACUUUUGAAACCUGGGUGUAUAUAGACCCUAUAAUAUGCAAAAGAAAUUUAGCAAUUCAACAAAAAAUUCAAAAAAUCUAAAAAUAUUUUUGAAAUAAACUUGACGUUUCAUUACACUUGUAAGAAAAUUUUCAUAAAAAGAAAAUUACACCCUGACUUCUUUAAAAAAACAUUUUUUCAGUCAAAAUAGUGUGAACAGUGAUCUAUAAUAGCAAAUAAUUUUUGUCUCUUUUAUCCAGAAGUCAAUGUUGACUUUUUUUUCUCGUGAAAAUUUAUACACUAGUGCAAAACAAAGUCAAGUUUAACCUAAAAAUACUUUGAAACUAUUUUGAAUUUUUAAUUAAUUAUUAAAAAAAAUCCUCAUAUAAAGUACAUAUACAACCAGAAAUCAAAGUAUAUUUUUUCCUAUAGUAUAGUACUAAUGCUACUACUAGUAGUACCAUAGUAGUAGUAGUAAAUCAAUACAAUAUUUAUCUAUAGCUAAACCAUGAAUUAAAAACUUGCUUGAGUUCACUAUAUCUUGACCUAUAAAUAGCAAGCAACAGGAGCAUACGUGAUACAUAAUAGAAAAGAGUGCAACAUAACAGAGAGCAAUUGUGUACACAUCUUACUAACCAACAAUCUAGCAUGGAGGCCAAGCUCAUACUGAUCCUCGCGGCUUGUUCGUUGCUUUCCUUUAGCAACCAAGGUAUGCAUUUGCAUAUAAUGUCUUGGCACACAAGUACCUCGGUAUACCGUACUUUUGCACUGAAAGUUCUCCAUUUCAUAUGUAUACAUGUGUAGUGUAUGUGUUUCUGGACGCCAAAACAAACACCAUGAACUAAUUGUGAGGUAAUGCAGGCGACGCACAACCCUGCCCUCUGUCCGAUCUCGCCGUCACCCAGACCGCGGUGCUUGGGAAGACCGGAGGGUACCCGCGGUACCGGGUGGCGGUGGAGAACAGGUGCACCUGCGCAUAGAUCUAUGUGAAGCUGGCAUGCAAGGGGUUCAACUCCUCCAUCAAUGUCGAUCCCGCUGGCGUAAUCGCGUCAGACGAUGACGCACUCUGCAUCCUCAAUGGCGGCCAGUCGGUGCAUCAUGUUGAAAUGGUCACGUUCAACUACGCGUGGAGUACAGAAAUCCGCUUCGAGCCCGUCGGUUCAACUAUAUAAUGUUCUGAAGCAUCCGCGCGUGCUCUAUCGGCGGUAUGAUGUUGAAAGGCUACAAAGCUUGGAAAAAUGUAUGAUGGGUAGGUUAAAGAAUGAGGUGUAGGAAGAUUUAUUUGACAUUGUGUGUCUCCAACUUUCAGUUUUCUUGAUCCAAAUAAAAUAAAGACUCUGAGUUGUAAAGUCACUGAAACAUAUAUCAAUGAGAAGUUAUCCCAAUAUUUUAAAUACUACCACCAUAAAACACUAACAAUCACAAACAUUAAUUGAUGAUCAACAAAGUGAAAACAAAUGUUGUUAUGCAUAGACCAUUGACCUGCCGAGAGAAUCAUUUCUAGUCAUUCUCAAAGAAAUCUUAAAGCUUGGGGGUAACCCAAAAAUCCAAGUUCACACCAAAAAUGCAUAUCCACUUCAUGUAGAAUACAUAUGUAUUAGGGUAUGUUGGUCUCAUUUGACAAAACAAACCAAUGACUAUAUGCAAUUCCCAUUUACCAUCUACUCCCUCCGUUCCUAAAUAUAAGUCUUUUAAGAUAUUUAACUAGAAGUCUACAUACGAAGCAAAAUCAGUGAAUCUACACUCUAAAAUAUGUCUAUAUACGUCCGUAUGUAGUCCACUAAUGAAACUUCUUUAAAAAAUUAUAUUUAGGAACGGAGGAAGUAGUUGUGAUAUUCAGAUACUAUUGCGUAUUAAACAAUAUUAUCAUAUUUUAUCCCCUAGUUAGGACCUUGUGAUAUGGUGCGUCCUACAUUAAUUUCUUUUUUCAACACUCCUACAUUAAUAUUUCCCUGGAACUGAUUAGCCAGACAUACUCGUUAAGACGGUCUUAUGGCCAAUUGAUCAACACAACUCGGAUGCACAUUCGGUAGAAUGUAUCAAAUCAUGUAAAAUGACCUCACACACUAGUGGAAAACGGGCCUUUGGCCGGGACCCUUUAGUCUCGACCUGCCUCUGGGCCGGGACUAAAGGCCCGGCCACGUCGCCCCAAUUCUCAAUGCCUCCCUCGAGGCUUUAGUCCCGGCCCGUAAGGAGCCUUUAGUCCCGGUUCGUGUCCCAAACUGGGACUAAAGGGCUACGCGGUGGGCAGCCCGCAUGUGCGCCACCUUUAGUCCCGGUUUGUGUCUCAAACCGGGACUAAAGUCCUCUACCUAUAUAUAGCACAGCCCCCCUCUCCCCUCUUCCUUGCAUUUUUCUUGGAUGGAGGAUUGUGGGUGGGUGCUAGCUCUCCACUUUUUUUGAUGCACUAGAGGUGUUUGUUGAAAUGUGUGUUAGAGCGAUGCCGCUUUAGUUCACNNNNNNNNNNNNNNNNNNNNNNNNNNNNNNNNNNNNNNNNNNNNNNNNNNNNNNNNNNNNNNNNNNNNNNNNNNNNNNNNNNNNNNNNNNNNNNNNNNNNAUGAGAUGCCUGAGCCACGCUUAAACCUCUUCCUCUUUAUUUCUACUUAUUCUAAAAGGUUAGCAACUAUAUUUCCUCGUUUAGACCGUGCGGUACUAAUUUUUAGGAUCGUGAUUGUAUUUGAUAUACUGUCGUAUAACACAGAUGAGCCAUCCAUGGAUGUACGGUGAUCGACGCACAGCCGCUUACACAGAAGGCGUGCAUUCUUUUCGAGAUGUAGCCGAUGCGAACAAGCAUGGUGGUGGCUAUAUGUUUUGUCCAUGUGUUGAAUGUUGGAAAGAGAAGGAUUACACUUCCUCAAGAGUCAUUCAGAGCCACCUGCUUCGGUCCGGUUUUAUGUCGGGCUAUAAUGUUUGGACCAAGCACGGAGAAAGAGGGGUUAUGAUGGAAGACGACGAUGAAGAAGAAGAGAACGAUGAUGACAACUACCGAUCUAUGUUCCCUGAGUAUGCUGAUACCGCAAUGGAAGACAAUGAAGAAGAAGAUCAGGAUGAAGAACGGGAACCAGAUGAGCCCGNNNNNNNNNNNNNNNNNNNNNNNNNNNNNNNNNNNNNNNNNNNNNNNNNNNNNNNNNNNNNNNNNNNNNNNNNNNNNNNNNNNNNNNNNNNNNNNNNNNNAAGCAUAUACAAUAGCAAAAUUAAGCAAUAAUCUAAGAAACACUAUUAACACUUAAGCAUAUACACUAUACAAUAGCAAAAUUAAAUGACAAAAAAUAUAUUUCUUCUUCUUGUAACCCUAAACUAAUUUUUCCUCUUCUUCUAUUUCUCCUCUUCUUCUACUUCUUCUUCUACUUCUACUUCUCCUCUUCUUCUACCACUUCUCCUCUUCUCUUCUUCUACUUCUCCUCUCCUC